This 49435-nucleotide long non-coding RNA is filed under the name Vigna radiata. RNAcentral describes it as "long non-coding RNA (VRAD_LNC003241)". Lineage: Eukaryota; Viridiplantae; Streptophyta; Magnoliopsida; Fabales; Fabaceae. The record is from RNAcentral.
GAAAACUGGGUUCUGUGUCGCAUAUUUUUGAAGAGGAGAAGUGGUUGUAGAAACGUGGAGGAGAAGGAGAUGGAGAGUUUGAGAGGCGGAGUGAAUAAUAGGAAGGUGAGGAAGUCGAAGAUGGUUUUCUAUAACUUUUUGGAACAGAGCAAGACUGAUUCCUCAUCUUCUGCCGGCAGUGGAAUUACCCAUGAAUCAGAUGAGCAUGAAGAGAGCAGUAGCUCCGACACCUUCCCUUAUUUUAGAAGAAAACCUUGACACCCUCCACUUAAAUUCUAGUACUACUGCUUGUUUUCAAAUCAUCUCGGAUCAACCUAAGUUUUACCUCUUUUUUAUAUUGUCUUUCCCUGUAAUUAUCUUCUUUCCACCGGCGCUGAGGGUAGUAAUCUAGGUCUGGAGUGUGUAAUCCAGUUCUUUUUUUCCUUCAAUUUCUAAUACCCUUCAUCAUCAUGCAAAUGGAAAGGCAAUGCAUCUUUUAGCUCGCUAAACCAGCUAAAAGCUACUAAUUUUUAGUCCCAAAGGAGAUGCUUUCACAGAGCAAAAGAGAAAUUAUCCACGAUGGAAAGCAUAACAAAAGAGGUUCAAAAUACAUAUAUAUUUAUGUCCAAAAAUAAAGGACCGUUUUCAGGAGAACAUCCCCAAAAUAAGAACAUAACAUUUGCCAGAUCAGCGUCGCACUAGUUACUACCGGGCUCUUCUUCCUUUUCUUCAGGGAAAGAAGAGGCUGCAAAACAAAGCUAUGGUCAUUCUUGUCGGAUCCACCUAAAUUCCUGUUUUUUUAGGGUAUUCCCUGCACAUCAUCAUGGUAAUAAUUUCUUACAAAAUAAACUAUAAUAGCUUCAGUUCACCUUAUUCCAUUUCCACCUUCACAACUAUGCGUAUCUUAUCCAUAUCUCCUUUCUACUUGUAAUUCUUAACAAGUCCGCAAGUUGAUAUUUUUUUUCCAACUUUCCAAAUCACCAAUAUUGACUUUAUUAAACAUUCGAUAAUUGUUUGUCCAACAUAUAUAUCACUCGAUCGUUCACAAUCACAGUUAUUUUUCUUUUGUCAGGUUAACCAUAAAAUACUGUAUAUAUGAAAUGCAAAGUGAGUUAGCCUAACAUUUCUCGACAUUAAAAUUUCAAAACAAGGGAUUAAAUUUUAACACGUCUAGUUUUAAGCUAUAUAGAGAGCAUGAGAGCUACGUUUCCCUAUUGUAUACAACACUGUUGUACACCACUGCCACUACCCUCAGUUUGGAGUUGACCCAAAUUCCAACACUACAACUGAUCCAAUUUGCACCUUUUACAAAAUAAUAAAAUAAAAUAUAGGAAUAAUUAUACAAUAUGCAGAAUAAAUAAACUACCAGCGUGUUGUAAUCAUCUCCAACAAACUAAUGCAGACACUCAUAAAAUUAUAGUUCAACUCUCAAUUACUUUAUGUAUUGAUAACGAUUUAGUGGUAUAAGACAUCACUUUUAAGGCCACUUAGUCAGAGUGUGUCGGACCCAAUCCUCGAAAAACACCAAUCCAACAUACGAACCCUGUUUCGGGGAAAGAAGGGACCGCACAAUUAAAACUUUAUUAUCGUUAGCGAUUUUCACUCUUUUUUUCACAAUUAUAAAAAGUAGUUACAUAAAAAGCAUUGCUCGGAAUUAUACAAAUAUCCAAUGCAUGUAACGAUUUGGUUUUUCUAAAACGAGAAAACAUGAAGGAAUAGCAGUUAUUGAUAAAAAGAAUUGAAUAUUUGAUGAUGAGAUGGAAACAGUGAGACAAGAAGAUCGUGGAAAUCUUCAACUGGGGCAUCACUUGAAGGUACCAUAUUUGUCAUCUACCCUUAGUCCGACGUGGUUGCCCCUCGUUUUCCAACCAACUGGGUCCCUUUAACCUUUAUUCUUUCACCCACCUUUCUCCUUUAAUUUUCUUAUUAUAUUUUUAUUCAAUACACAAUUUUACAUCCAUUUAUAAAAUAUCAUAAAAGAAUAAAUCUUUAUAUUUAAAAAAUAAUAAUAAAAAAAAUGUCAAAUAAUAUAAAAAAAUGUGUAUAUCAAAAUAUAUUUUUCCUUUUAUUACACUAUAUAUCUCUCCUCCACCUUUUCCAAUUUUUCAUUCUAAAAUACUACCUCAUUUGUUCUUCAUUUUCUUUCUUAAACCCAACCUCCCUCACUAUCAAACCACUUUUUCAAAAUAAAUAAUUCUAUCAGUUAACAUCUUAUCUUUUUUCAUGGUACUCUAAAGUUAUGGUGCGUUUCAUGAUAAACAAAACAAGUCACUUAACAAUCACAACAUACUUGAGCAUCUCACACACUUCUCCACGAUUCCUUAAUAGCGGCAACCCUUUUACAAACUUCUUACCUUAAUUCUAAUCAAGUUUUGCUAACUAACUAAUAUUACCAAGUUAUCUCAAUUUUCAUUUGUGAGAGAUCGUCGUGUUUUUCAUAUUUAAUCAAUUGCACAUGUUUAUACGUAAUUAACUAAACAUCUAUAUUGUUGAAAAGUAUUAAAAUUAGUGGCUUUUUAAAACAAAUAAAAAUACUAAAAAUCCAAAAAUACUUAAAAAACUAGUCAAAAUUCAAUUAUUGAAGGUGUGCAGAUGUGACCUGUGAUAUUAUUGAUUAGCAUUUAACCCAAUUCCAUUUUUAACAUACUGUGCAGCAAUUAGAGAGCAACGUGUACAAUUUUUAGUUGUUUAAAUUGAACUCUAAAAUGAGUUCUUUUAACUUUAUCAUCUCUUUAUUAUUUACACGAUUUGUUCGAAUGACACAUAAAAUAAUUGUCUCCCUUGAAAGAGACAAGGUAAUAUGUUAAAAAAUUGACAUCAAUGAUAAUCCCGUAUUCUAAUAAAGACCUCAUAAACAAAGCACACAUUCAAAAUAAAUUUAUUUAUUUUUUCUUCGAUGAGUAUGCAAAAAUAGUAUGGUCAUGAAACCUUUUUUUUUUUAAUAAUUUUAAUAGGUCCAAAAAUUACAUUUUAGAAUAAUUUUUUAAUAACUUUCAUAUUAUAUACUAGUCUUUUAAAAGUAACCGGUCAACUGUAAGUUGCUUAUAUAACAACAAUCACAAAAUCUUAUACGGCACACCUAGGUCGAUGUAUUUUAUCAAUAUUCAACAAAUUGGUUCUUGAAUAAAAAAGAGUAAAGUAUAUAUAUUGGUUUCUUUUAAAAAUAAAAACUAAAUUCGAUAUAUUAGCUCCUCUAAUUCUUUUGUCUUUUUUUUUUUUGCAGUCACUUAGAUUUUGAAAUGCAUCAUUUUAUCCUUCGAAUUUAAAUAACGUUUUAUAAAAAAACAAAAUUAUCUAGACAACGUUCGAACGAUGAAAAGUUCUGCCUUCAUAAGUAGAAGGAAUAAAAAGAAACAACGUUUUUGAUAUAUAACUAAACUUUGGAUGUUUUAGAAUGUUAAAGAACAUAUUUUUACACUUACCAUUGACAUGAAAUAAUACAUCUAGUAUUUUUUAGAACAUCUUUUGUUGAAAUGAAAGGAAAUUAAAGCCGGAAUCUAGUUACAAAUAAAAAUAUAUUAAAACGUUGAAUUUGUGAAAGAAAUAUAAUUAAAGAACACGUUGCUAAUUGUAACUACGCAUAAAUUAUAUUAGACAUCAGUAAAAUAGAGAUGGAUGUUUCAGGUCAACGUUACGGUCAUCUGACAAAAAUAACAGACUAUUUUUUAACCUGUCAAUUUAAAUUUUCAAUCAAUAAUUUAAAAAAAAAAAAUGUGUAUAAUCAAAAGUAAUUUUAGUCGAUGGAAAUUACUUAUCUAUAAAAUAAAGCAGGUAGUAACAUGAACCAACGUAAGUGCAUACACUAUUUUUAGUGACCUAUCCAAAUAAAGUUUUUUGAAUUAAUAAAUUUUAAAAAAGUUCACCACAAUCAGACAGAAUUUCCUGAUAACUUAUUAUUUGUGAAAUAAAGGAAUUAAUCAACUUGUAUUUUUUUCCGACACAGAAUUUUUUUUUAAUAAAAAGAGAGAGUGUUUGACUAGUACUUAAUUGAAUUUAAAAACACUUGUUCUACACUCCCAAGUAACGUGGACGUUUCCAUUAUUUAGUGGGAAAAUAAAAAAUAAAUUAGGCCCACAUAGAAAUAUAUUAUGACAAUUGAGACUGCAAUACAUAGGAUCAUGUCUGUCUGGGAUAGAAUAGAUUUUCUCAUUGGUUUUAUAUGGCCAUAGUUUUUAUGCAUGUAGCUUUAAUAAGAAUAUAUGCCAAUAUGUAUGGUUAGUCGAUUUGAGCGUGAUUUAGACCCUUAAGUUAUUGAAAAGCUAACAGAAUAUUUUAAUUGAUUUGAAAAUGAUUUCGCAAGUGUAUGUUGUUUACGUUCACGGCUCCUCAAAUGAAUGUGGUAUCAGAAGAAUUCAUAAAUGCAAUAAAUUCAAUUUUCAAAAGUGUCUCAGAUACAUAAUUAACUAUUUGUAAUCUAAAAGGAUCUUGAACAAGCGUGGACCUUAAUUGCAUUUAAAAAUUAAAACCUUAAGAAAAUCAAAGCUAAAAGGUGAAUUAAGUACCUAUACAUAGUAAAUAAUGUUAGAAGAAAUUAAUUUACUUUAACUAAUACAAAGUUUUGUAAAACAUGGAUGUCCCGUUAACAAUAGACUGAGGAGUCAACAAUCUUUUCGAUAUUAUGAAAGAUGAUUGAUGCACUGAUCAGUUAGACUAUAAACAAAAUUAAUAACGAGAAUAAUUACAUAAUCCUAAAUCAAAUUAUUACUAUUUAAAUUAUAAUUAAGCUAAUAUUAAUCAAAAGAAUAUCCCAAAUAUAAGUUUAAUAUUUAGAUAAUUAAUUACUUUUUAUUAGUAUUUAUUGUUACAAUAAUUAAAUCAACACUAACUUUAAAGAUUGAACAUAAAAUCCUGUUUGGAAAACAUGAAAGGGGAUUUGAAAAAUAAGAUAAGAAUAAUAUUAGUGAUGUAAAGUGGAAAGGGAGGGUAAGAAAAGGUAACACCGACAGAAUAGGAUGCGUCUGAAGUGUGAAGAAGUUAGUAACUAACAAAACAAAACAAAACCAAAAGAGUUGAGUUUCCUGUAUUCAUUGAUAUUGGUUUGCUCCCCGUUGAGGGAUAGAACAGAAAUAGAAACAAGUUAGUGUGAGAGAGGGAGAGGGUUAGUUGUGUACUUUCAUCAAAUCAGUGCCAUGCCACUGAUAUAGCCUCUUUGUCUUGCCUUGGGUCACCUCCAGCUGUACCCCAUCACAAAACCUCACUUCAUGCACCUCUUCAUUUCACUUCAACAGUAAAACCACCAAAAUCAAAAUUUAGUAAACUCAAGACAAAUUUUGUUUCCAAGAAAAAAUGGAGAACUUGUUUUGUUUUAUCCAAGGAAGGGACCGAGGAGUGCUUGUUUUGGAUAAACCCAACGGAAUUCUCUUCCAAUCACAACACAAGGAACAAGAGGUCGACGGAACUAGGCUUUGUUUUCUUAUUAGCAGCCGCAGCCGCAGCCACUCUGGUCUCACGAACUUUUCUCACGAACAAACCAAAAUAAUAAUAAUAAUAAUAAUAAAACCUUAAACCACAGUUAAUAUAACGUCAAAGUAAAAGAAAGGUUGAGUCUGGUUUACGCAAAAUGUGUCGUCUUAUUCUUCUCCUUCCUUCCUGUCAGACCCAUUUCUAUAAAAGAAGCCACACUGCAUCUUACUCCAUACCCUUUUGCUUUCUUUAUCCAAUAAUAAUAACCCCCUUUUCCCUCCUUUUUCUUCUUUCCUUUCCCCUUCUUCUUCAGCCCCUUUCUUUAUUUUCCUCAACGCUUUAAUGGACUUAUAAGAACCCCCACGAGUGCUUCAAUUGUCACCCACCCAACUUUCCUACUCUGCUCUAGUCGGACACACAGAGCUAUUCUCACUAUAUUCCUAAACAUAUACAGAGAAGAAGUAGGGCGUGGUCGAAUGGAGAAACUGAAUUUUGUCAAAAAUGGGGAGCUCAGAUUGCCUCCGGGCUUCCGUUUCCACCCAACCGACGAGGAAUUGGUUGUGCAAUACUUAAAGCGGAAGGUUUUCUCCUUCCCUUUGCCAGCCUCCGUCAUUCCUGAGUUUGAUGUUUGCAAGUCUGAUCCUUGGGAUUUGCCAGGUUUCCAUAAUUCCCUUCUUCUCCUCUCUCUUCUUCUUAACUAAUUAAGUCUAAUUGCAAUGCCUUGUGGAUGGUGUGUUUAGGUGAUUUAGAGAAAGAGAGGUACUUCUUCAGCACCAAAGAGCCCAAAUAUCCCAACGGCAACCGCUCCAACAGAGCCACCAGUUCAGGUUACUGGAAGGCCACUGGGUUGGACAAACAAAUUUUAACUUCAAAAGGGAACCAAGUAGUGGGAAUGAAGAAGACACUUGUUUUCUACAGAGGAAAGCCACCUCAUGGAUCCAGAACCGAUUGGAUCAUGCAUGAGUAUCGCCUCCUUAACCCUCCGUCUCAGGUCAGGAUUCGGAGAGAGCAAAUUAACUCACAAUUAUCCUCGCGCACGCAUUAAUUAUUCAUACAAUAUUUUUGGUUUGUUUGUGUAUUCAGGUUCCCAUGGAAAACUGGGUUCUGUGUCGCAUAUUUUUGAAGAGGAGAAGUGGUUGUAGAAACGGGGAGGAGAAGGAGAUGGAGAGUUUGAGAGGCAGAGUGGAUAACCGGAAGGUGGGGAAGUUGAAGAUGGUUUUUUAUGACUUUUUGGCGCAGAACAAGACUGAUUGCUCAUCUUCUGCCGGCAGUGGAAUUACCCACGAAUCAGAUGAGAAUGAAGAGAGUAGUAGCUCCAACACCUUCCCUUAUGUUAGAAGAAAACCUUGAGUCCCUUUAGUUAUUUCUAGCACCACUACUUGUUUUACAACCAUCUCAGAUCAACCUAAGCUUUGCCUCUUUCUUUUAUUGUCUUUCCCUGUAAUUAUCUUUUCAUUUUCAACCGGCACUAAGGGUAGUCUAUGUCUGGAGAGUAUGCUACUAAAACUAGUGUGUAAUCCAGUUCUUAUUUUUACUUCAAUCUGUUCUUACUUUUACUUGAAUCUCUAACACACUUCAUGAUGCAAAUGCAAUUGCAAUGCUGCUUAAAAGUUACUGAUUUUCAGUCCUAAAGGAAAAGCUUUCACAGAGCAAAAGAAAAUCACAGUUUUCUUCACAAAAUUUUAAAAAUAAAUUAAAAAAAAAUACACGAAAUGAUAAAAAUAUGUAACGUAAAUAUAUAUUAUACGUGUAAAGAUUUGGUUUUUUCCAGAAUGAGAAAAGAUAAAGUAGUAACACUUAUAUUAAUAAAAAAAUCAAUAUUUCAAUACAUGUAUGAUUAUGUAAUAAUGUUAUACUACACGUUCAUUUUUUUUUAAUUAAAAACUAUUUAUUUGAUCUAUUAAAAGAGGACUUGAAUUCUAGAGGCAAUGUUAUCAUGAUCAUUGAAUUUAUGUUUUAGUAUAUAAUGAAUGAUAGUUAGAUAUCAUAUUAAAAAAAAUUCGGCAAAACUAAAUAGGAAAAUUACAAAAAUUGUUGGUCUGAAAAUGAAUGGCAAGUUUAUUUAUUUUAUUUUUCUAAUUGUAGCAAAAGUGUUUUCAUCUAAUUUUAAAUGUCUUAAAACAAUUUUAGAAGAAAAAUUAUAGAAAAAAAUGUUAUAUUAAUUCUUGUUUUAUAAUUAAAACUUACUUCUUUACUAUUUAUAGGGGGGUUUUUAGUUACAACUCAAUUACAAUAUUUUGUUCAACUACUUUUAAUUAAUAUUAGAAGAAUUUUACAAUUACAAGUAUUCUACGUCCAUCUUAAUAAGAAAACAUUACACUUUCUUUUAUGUAUAAAUAGAUAGUUUUAAGAAAACAUUACACUUUCUAUUAUAUAUAAAUAGAUAGUUUAAAGAUAAAAGUAAGUAAAAAUGUAAGUUCGUAGAAGAGACAGUGAAAAUAUUUUAAGAAUCAUACUGUCCCUCCCAUCGCAUUUUGACUCUUUGGUAUUUUGCUCACAAAAAUUGGAUCAAUCAUGCCAUUGUGCAUAAAAAUGGCAGACUACCAUGUUGUACAUAAACAAAUUUAAAAAAAAGAAAUACUAUAUUCUAACAUUAAUCUUAUUUAAAAUUUUCAUAUCUUUAUUUCAUUAUAUAGAUUUACAAUUGAAAUGAGCUGAAUAUAAGAUUACCAUCUACAUUAAAUAAAUAUUAAAAGUUAAAUAUUUAAUUAACAAUAAAAAAUAAUUAUUAAUUAAGUUACUAAAAAAUUAUAAUAAUUAACCAUAAUUUUUCUUUACUUUCAAAAGUUUUUUAUAUAUAUAUUUUAAUGACAUUGGGUGCAGUCUUGGAACAUUCCAUAUAUUUUACCAUCUAUACAUUUUAAUAAACAUACUUAGUUUAAGAGCACUUUCAAUUUAAAAAAUGAAUCUGAACUUUAGUUUCAGCAUUAUAUUUUAAAGGUUUAGAAGAUUAUAAAGUAGAUUAUAACGCUUUCACAUGGAUUAAUUUCUUAUCCUUUUAAGAUUAAUGAGUUUAAAUCUUGUAUCUGGGAAUUAAUCUAGAACUAUGGUUAUCACGUUUGUGUUUCUUCUAUCAUGUAUGUGUUCUUACCCCUUUGGGAAUCUAUCCAAAAUCUUCAUACUGUAUGAGAUUAGAGUAUUCUACUAUAAUCUUUUGAGGCUCGUUGUUAACAGUUUGGAAUUUUUCAAACAAUUCGUUUCAAUACAAUUCUUCCUGUGUUUUAAGAUUGGUGGGCUUUUUCAAUUAAACAUAGUUUGUGCCUUCGUGGAUUAUCUUAUAGCAUCAGAUAAUUGUGUUGCUUUGUACCCAUGAUAUUUAUUAUAUUCAAAUUUAGGUAAAAUACAAUUUAUAAUAUUUUUAGCCUAAGUUCUUUGUGUUUAAUUUUCCUCAUCUAACUUAUUUGAACACAGGACAGAAUAAAAUAGGCCAACAAUAAAUCAUUAGAACAUUUACUUUAGUUUAUCUGUUGGACGAUGCAUCAAUGGUUCAUAUCCUCUGAAACAUCAAAUGAAACAGACAUCUAUUUAGAGGAAUUUAUCAUCUAAAAAGAUGAACGCAACUGUUUGGAUUUUAAAAUAAUAUUUUUAUUUUUUAACACGUAUAGUAACUGUGAAUUAACUUUUGAAGAAAAGUCAAGUGAAAUUCUUCUUAAAUCAUUGUUUCUAAAAUUUAACUUCUAUGGUUAGACUAAAACUGUAUAUAAAGUCACAUCCUAAUUCCACAUCAGCCAAUCAUGAUAAAGACAAAUUUAUUUGGACAUAUGUCAUAUAGGACCCCUUUACUUAGUAAUUUUAUCAUUUAAUCACAGUUCUAAUUACUUAAAAGUGUUAGUACUCGAACAUUUAAAGAAGGAAAAAUACUAGUUCAUCAUCAACUGCAAAUAUUGUUAAGAACUUCUGUAUUUUCAGCAUAGUUUUUAUUCAAGUACAAAAAUAGUAUAUUUUUUAAACAUGUUUAAGUUCGAUUUUGAAAUUCGGAUGCAUAUUUUCCGUCUAACUAUAUUUCAAAAAAUUAAACUUUGCCUAAUGUACGAGACUUCUCUCACUUUAACUAACUCUAUAUUACGAAAGAUAGGGCUAUCAUCACACCCUUUUAUCAUGAAGUAAAAUUUUGAAGGACUCAAAAUUAUCAAGGGAACUGACUAUAAGAACGAAAUUCACUAUUUCACAAGUCCCUAUAAAUAUAGCUAAUAUAGUAAAAGAGUGCUGGGAAGAAAUGUUAAAAGUGUGUUUGGUAACAUUCUUGAAUUCAUUAAACUAGAGAAGACUAUAAAAGUUGAGCGGUAGGAACAAAAAGAUGAAUUAAGAAUGAAAGAAAUAAAAAAGAAUUAAUUGGCGAGCGGAGUUUGUUGUUAAUAAGGGUAUUAGAGUUCUUCACGUCACCUUUUCUAUUUAAGUUUCAUUUUCAUGGAGAAAAUACAGGAUGACAAAGAGUGUUGUGUGAAUUGCUGACUUAGUAGAACAAUGCAAACUUUUGUCAAUCACGUGGGUAGCCUAUCAUGGUCACACAUGACCCGACCCAUUCACUCCAAUCCAAGCUAAACUUGGUAGUAGGCUCACCUGAUUAGGUCAAUCAGGUUAAGAAGGUUUCCUAUCAAUUAUUAUUUUUCCUUCAAAAACUGUCUUGCACAGAAGGCAACAUGUCCAUCCAUCAAUUGUGACUAUGUCUAUUAAUGUUGUUUGCCUGUAGGGUUUUACAAGGUUUGCUUAGUACAAUUGAAACAAACAAGACGUGUCCAUUUCUUACUUCUUCUCCUAACCAAAUAAAUCUAAGUACAUGGGCCCCAAUUCCCAAAAGAGAUCCAAAGUCCUCUUCUCCACCAAGGCAAAAAUGGAUUAAAAUUGUGAGUGACUCAGUACAUGUUCAACUCGAGUUGAGAUAUAAAAAAAUAAAAUAAACAUGAAUCAAACUGAACUAACUCAGGUUCGUCGAAUUCAAACUCAAUUGAAAAUAAACUGUGUUACUAUUGCCUAACAAUGUCAUUUAUUAUAAUUAUUUACUAUAAGUCGAUAAUUUGAUCUUUUGAUCUUCUUUAACAUUAGAAUCAUGCUAAUAGUGUUAAAUUAUUUGAAUAGGAUUUCAUUGUUUGUCUAAUUGUAUAUAUUAUGCUUACUAUUUUUAUAAUAGUAUUUUCUAAUUUUAGUUGAUGUUUGAUGAAAUAAAUAAAUAAAUACCUUAAUUAUAUUUUAACAGAUAUAUCAGAUCAAUCUACUUUGCUUCUACUAAUAAAACCAAAUUGAAAGAAAAACAAAGCGUUAAGGAGUCAACCGGUUGGGGAUAAGUUGGCUUGCAUCGCAUUGACGUCAAAAAGCCAAUUCCAUUUCAGCCCUACAACAAGUUCACGGGCCAUAAAUUAAGGGCCCCCACAACACUACGGCCCAAAACACAAUUCUCCCUCCUUUACCACUGUUACCUAUAUUGGCAAUUUUCUUUUACAACUUCUUUGGAAAUAUAUGUGUGUGUAUAUAUAUAUAUAUAUAUAUCAAAUCUCAUCGAUCAUGAUAACUAAAUCAAUAAGAACUCGUUUGUUUGACAAAAAUGAGAUAGAGCACCUCUUGAACAAGUUUUCACGAAAGGAUAGUUUGAUUAAGAGCUCUAUGAAAUAAGUUAAAAAGUGUUUAUGGUUGCCUAUAGAAAUUAGAUAAAGAAAAAAGAGUUUAUAGGGAGGUUAUAUAGAAAACAAAAUAAGAAUGGCAUUAUUGUGUAAUUAUUAGGUAAGAACAGUCCAUAAAAGAAAAUAAAAAUAACAGUGAAGAGCAUGUAACAAGAGUAUGGCAGGCACGGCAUAGCUAGAUUGAUAAGAGAUAGAAUUCAAGCAUAGAAUAUAUUAGAAAGCAAUCUGUAAAAGUAAAGAUGGAGUAGGAUAUUUGAGGGUUACAAAUAGGAUUUGAAGGAAAAAAGGAGUGAGUAAUUGAAUGAUCCUGCAAUGAUGCAAGAGAUGAUUGAGAGCAUGCCUUGAAGACAGCUUCAUUCUUGAAAUGGAUUUCAGAAGAAGAGAAUAGAGAUGUGGUUGUCGAAGAAGAAGAAGAAACCCUAAAAAGGAGAAAUAGAGAGAUAGAGAGAGAUGGAAAACCUGCCAAACGCGGCGGAGGAGGCGCUUCUCAGCAUUGGCUUCUUCACGAUCUCCAUCACCCGCGUCCCCCACAGUGCACCACCCAUCCUUAGAUACCAAAUAUCUCUUUCUUUCCGUUGCCCAGCCACCACCACCACCUCCACCCCUUUUUCUCAUUUCCAAUUUGGGCUCAACCUUUUCAUUUUAUUGGGCUUUCUUUCUCUCUAUCCAUUUCUAUUUCCAUUCUCACAUUUUACUAUUUCCACUCUUCCAAUUCUCUGUCUCUUAUAUUCUUGUAUCCUAAUAAUCUAAUUUUACCUAAAUUAAAAACGUAUUUAUAGCAAAAAAUAAUAUUAGGAUAAUUAUAGAUAGAUUUCAUUUUUAAUAGAACAAGAAAAAAGAAAACUACACUUUCAGUACAACAACUCUUUAAUUUUAUUAGUUUUUGUAUUCAAACAAAAUCAAAGAAUCAUAGUAUUUGUACUAAAAUAAUAAUUUUAUUAUUAUACUAAAAAUAAAAUAUAUAUGUAUACUCACCAUACUAAACCAAUUAUUUAUCUGAAAAAAAAAUAUCAAAAAAUUUAAAUGUAUAUAAUAUAAAUCAAAUUUGAUAAUGAAGACAUAAACAUGUGUUUGAAACCAAUGAUUAAGUACUCGAAGCAAAUCAUAUGUUAAUAUAAUUAAAGUAAUUAAAAGGUAAGAAAAAGAACAACUUCCUAAUCAGAUGUUGAAGAUAAACAAAAUCCAAAUAUUGAUACAUUAAAAAAUAAUCUAAACACAUUAUCAUAUUAGCAUACGAAAUAUAAUAAUGACUUAUUUUUAGUUGCACUUGUCAUGCCAUUGAGAAUAGCUAUUACAUUAUUUCUUACAUUUCCAUACUUAUAAAGAUCUUAAAUCCUUUGAUUUGUUUGUCUCAAUUUCACAAAAACGAGUUAAUAUAAGCAUUUCCACAAAAUCUGAGUAAAAGAUACACAAUAUUUUAAUUACUUCCCUAAUAUAUUUCUAAAACGGAAUAAACCUGUUAGUAAAUAAUCCAAAAUUAUCAAAUUACAAUAAAGUGCAAGAAUCAUAAACUAUAUUCAAAGGUAGUUAAUAUGUCCCCUCUUACAUUUAGCUUUGAUUUUACAGAGCCUUUAAACUCUAAUAUUUGAGUCCUCUAAUUAACCCAACCACAAAAGUCCUAUAACAAUAACGUAAAUAUAUUACUAAAACAUUUUUAAAACAAAAUAAGUUUAUAUUAAAAAGGAAAAUAUUUUUUUAAAAACUUUAUUUUAAUAAUUUUUCUACAACGUCCAUGUAGAAACUUGCAAAUGAUCCAUCUCAAAUAUUUUAUUAAAAAUAAAUUCAUACAAACUAAUAAAAUAAUAACUAUUAUCAAAAUAUUAUUAUAAAAAGUUAUUAACAUAUAAUUAAAAAAAGUUAGAAUCGUACAAUUUUAAAGAAGUGCAAGAAAUAUAAAUUGUAUUAAAAAAUAAUUAGAAUAUCAAAUCUUAUCCUUUACUUAAAUUUGAGAAAUUCCAAAAUACUUUUAAUUAUAGAUAAAAACUUACUAUGAAAAUAAAUUCAUUGAUAAAAUAACAUUUAUUAUAAUUUUCUUUUGACAAAAAAAAAUUGUAAAUAAAAAUUUGAAUUAUUGACGAAAAAAAUUAUUCAAUAAAAUAUGUAAGUUAUCUUAAAUUAUUGUUAUCGAAGGUUUUUUUAUUAGUAAAUCAUGUUCGGGCACUACAUUUUCCACUUUGAUUCGUGCUAAAAUUUGUUAGUGAAAUUGUUGAUUAUAAAAAUUUUUAAAAUCUGUCAGUAAAAAUCCAUCAAAUAAAAAUUUAUUUAUUGAUGAAAAAUUCCUCCAAUAAAUUAGGAAUCAAAAUUAUCACUCAAUCUAAUUAAAUAUUUAUAAAUUAAUUGAUUAAUAUUUGUUGAUAAUUUUUUUUCGAUAAAAUAAAUUUUUAAUUAUAAAAAAAAAUGUUGAUAAAUUCGUUAGUAAAAAAAUCCGAAAGAAAAAAAAAAUUGUCUAAUUUUUCAAUAACAUAUUCGUAAAAGAAAAUUUUGAUAAAAAUAUAAAUUGUCAGUAAAUUCGUAAGUAAUUUACAGUUGUUAUUACAAGGAACUUUUCUAUUUGUGAAUUAUGUUGAUAAAAGAUUAUGCACUUCCUUUUUUAUUUGUGAUAAAAUUUAUUAAUAAAUUCGUCGAUAACUGAUUUUCUUAAAAUCUAUUACUGAAAAUUUGUCGAUGAAUUUAUGGAUAAGGUACCAAAUUUUUCAUUCAAACUAACAAAAUAUGUUAAUAAAUUAAUUUCUCAAUAUUCGUCGGGAAAAUAAAAUUUUCAUCAUCUUCAAGAAUAAUUGCAAAAAUAAUGAUAAGAAUAAAAGAGAGAAAAAGAUAAAUAUUUAUCAAUAAAUUUUAAUAAAAAUAAAAAUUAUCCAAUGAAUUUUAUUAAUGAAUAAUUAUUCAAAGAAUUUUUAAUUAUUAAUAAUUAUCGACAAAUUUUCGAAUCUGUUGAUAAAAUUUAGUGAUGAACAUUUGAUGGAUAAAUUUUUUACUUGUAGUGUGUAACAUCUCAAUAAAUAUAACUUGAAAACUAUAAUUUAUUUUAGGGGUAUACAUAAACAAUAAUAAAGGACAGUAGGAGAUAAGCACUUAAGAGUAACGAGAAUAUGAGAUUUCAUAUAGAAUUUAAAGUUGUACAAAAAUAUAGAAGUUUGGUAGCUUUAAGGCCGAACAGUCAUAUGACAAGUUCCAGGCCGAAUGGUACAUCAAAGGGAUAACUAGACCGAACGGUUCUUACAAAACACGAACCGAACGGUUAUUACACUAAGCAAAUGAAAAAUCUAAUCUAAGGACCGGACGGUCCUGCACAAGUCUCCGACAUCACAUCCAAGGGUUGUUCUGUUUGCAAGGCAUCUUCCAAAGUAUCUUCUAGAGCACCCUCUGCUCACACCCAAACGGAUGAUCAUUGCAGUGAAGAGAACAAACCGGACAGUCGAAUAUCGAACGACAACAUAGACAAGACAAAACAGAUAAGGGUAAGCUUAUGUAAAUUUAAUUAAUCAUUUCUAUAUAUUUUUCAAAACAUACACAUAAUCACAUACAUCAAUAUCUCAAUCAUGUAAUCAUCAUAUAAGAAUAACAAUAAAACCGAACGUAUACAUCACUCAAAUCAUCUCAUAUAAUAACCGAACAUAUAAAACAUUAUGACCGACCAUUAUGACUCUGUCCGGACUGUAGGAAUAUGUAGCUAUGGUUAUCCUUGCAUCUGUGGGUGGUAACCUGGAAUAAACCAUCAGUAUUACCGCAACAUGGAUAACCCUUGAGUUUGCCCACGAGGUUAGCCUGUUAAAACACCUUAGGUCAAGGUUGUACACACCGCCCAGGCUAGAGCCUCCUGCCAUUCUCACCACAUGGUCACUAGCGCUAGUGAGCAUUAGAAUAUCAGGACGAACACCAAUACAAAGUUGGCCAUAUUCUUACUUCACCAUCAAUCAAACAUAUGGUAUGAACCAUGUAUGCUCGCCGCUCUCUGCACUCAGUGUGGACCUGGCUAGCAUAACUCAUCAGACCGCCACCCGAGGUUAGUCCUAAAACGAUCACCUGGUCUUAUGAUCAUGGACCUCCUGCCAUUCACACGCAUGACUUUUCCUCCUCUAUAUGAGAAGGCAAAAUCACGAAAUAUCAGGAUAGAGCGGAACCUGAGCCUUAGCCACGGUCGUACUUUACCAAUAUAAGUCCAAUCAUGAGCUAUUCCUCCCUGGAAUACUCUUACUUAAAUCAAUACUACACAAGGUUAAGGAAAUGACCGGACGGUAAGACACAUAAAGGAAAUGGAGUACCAAGGAAAACUUAAUAGAUGACCGAACGGUCGGAUCGAAUUAAGAAAAACAACAUAGAAGAAGUUCUAGUAAGGGACCGAACGGUCAAGCAAGGAAGGAAACCGAGCGUUGUUUGAAGAUAAAGAAAAAUAAAUAAUUCAAGGAAAUGAAUGAACGUUCAACAAUAGGUUACCUUUAACAAGACCCAGUACUUUACAGUUUGGCUGAAUGCCUUAAUAUACAUAAACUAGAGUUCUUUUCAGUAAAACGAGUGUCAGUGCAAAACCGAACACUCUGUGAGGGAUCAAGUGUCAGUGUAAGACCGAUAAUAGAUAUUAUUAUAAACUGGACAUUUUUCCCAAGAAGGAUAAUUAACACCAAACCAAGUACUUAGUCUAUGACCAAAUAGUCAAACAUAAUAUCAUAUUUGUAAAACCGAACGCUGGGUUUAUGACCGAAUGUUCUUAAAAUGAGUAGUAAUUAUAAUACGAAAUCGAAUGCUUCAGAAGUUAAGUGUCAGUCUAAUACCAAACACUUGUAUGAUUGAACGUAUAGUUUAUGACCAGACGUUCUUAGAAUUCAAGCACUGGUAUAAGACUUAGCACUUUUAAUAAACAUUAUCAAUAUAGGCCGAACACUCAGUGUAUGACUGAACGUUCUAAAUAGUUAAUACGAGACCGAAUACUCAGUGUAUGACCAAGCACUUAGAGACCGGACGUUCAGUAUAGGACCGGACGUCCUUUAAUGGUUAAUUCCGAACGGAUAACCAAGCAAGAUAUUUAAGUUUCAACACAAAGGUACCAGAUCAAUUGUUUUAAGAGGAAACCGAACGGUCCUAAUGACCCUUCGAUUACAGAUUCAUAUUUUCACUAAGUUUUAUAACUUUAUGACAUAUUUCAUACAAAAAAUCAAACAUGCAUUUCUCAGCAACAAGAUCAUACAUUCAGCAAGCAUAACUCACAAAAUAUUGCAUACAAAAAUAAUCAUAAUUAAAUUUAUAAGCUUCCCUUACCUCUAUUUCCAGCUAGGCCUCUAAGGUUCCUUUAGCACUGACUACCUCUUCUAAUGUUCCCAAGGUCUAGAGUCAAAUUACAAGACAACCGAUUUUAGGGAAAUGGUUUAACAAUCACAUGCAAGCUUAAAGGGUGCUUGCAUGCAAGAAUACCAAUAAGCUUAAAUGGCCAGAAAACACUUACCGAUUCAUAACGGAAAUUGGACCGGUGCAAAGUGAAGGUCUUGACGACGAGAACAAUUAAUCUGAAAGUAAUCAGGUGAUCGGAGGAGGGGAAAGGGUUAGAAUUCUAGACAGGAGGCUGAAGGGUUUUAGAGAGAAGGAGGAGAAAAUGGAGUUCUGAAAUUUUGGAGAAGAAGAUCGCAUGUAGGGAAAAUGAUGUCAGAUUUAAAACUCCAGCUUUUAUAUCACCUCCAAAAACCAAACGGUCAAGUCUCAUGCUGCCACAUGUUUUCCACUUCCUGAAUUGCUGCACUCCAUGGGCUGCCACUUGGAUUCCACUUCCUGUACAUCUCACCUUUUUUGUUGCCGCACGGUUUCCAAUGAUUGAGAAAUUAAAUACACGUACAGAUUUUGUCUUCCACUGUCAUGGGAAGCUUGGAACGAUGUGACAUGUGUUUUCCACUAAGAUGGAGAAUUUAUGAGAUGUGACAUAGUGGUUUUUGAUUUAUCAACAAAUUAUAAACGUUAUUAUUGACAAACUUUAAUCAUAGAUAAUUUUCUUUUUUUGAUGAGACCAUAAACUUUUUCAUUUACUUCAAUCUUCCUAAGAUCAUAACAUUUGUUUUAGUCUUAAACUUACAUGUUAAUAUGAACACUAUUAAAAAAGUCUAAAUAAAUACAUAUAUAUAUAUAUAUAUAUAUAUAUAUAUAUAUAUAUAUAUAUAUAUAUAUAUAUAUAUAAUUGAUAUGUAUGUUUAAAAGUCUAAUAUAUGUUACUAUAGUAUAAAUGUCCUAGUAAAUAUUUUGAAUGAGUUUGAUGGUUAAGAAUUAUUUACAUGCUUAAUAAUAUAAAUAUAAAUGCACAAUUUCUUUAAAAACAUUAUUUUAUACAUGUGUUAGAAUGACAAACUAUAUUAAAAAAUAACUAGUAUGUUAGUUUUCAACUUUUACAUUAAUUUCAUAAAGAUCUUAAGGUUAAUACACACAUCACCACGAUGUGAUAGUAAAAGCAACAACAUCAAAGCAUUAAUAAUACGUUUUUAAAAUAAAAUAAACUUACAUGAAAAAAAUAAAAAAACCGUCUAAUUAGAAAAAAAAAAUGAUAAAAUAACAAAUUGUAUUAAAAAAAAUAUUAUGUUAACUCUUAUUUUUUUCCUUUAAUCUCAUUAUAACCCUAAACUCUUAUAUUUGCUUUAAUAUCUAGAUGACAAAAAAUAGGUCCAUAUAAAGACCAAUACAAAACUCACCAGGACAUUUUUAAAACAAAAUUAAAUCUACAUUAAAAAAAUUAUCUUUGUAAUGAAAUAGAGUGGCUACCACCAAAAUCUGAGUAAAUAUAUUACUUAAAGUAUUUAAAACAUAAUUAGAACAUUUUAUCUAACUUGUAUUAAAAAUAGAAUGAGCACUCAAGCAACUUAAUGAAAAAUAUUGCUACGAAAAUCAAGGUAAACAUAUAAAAAGUACGACCACAUAAUCAAAAUAAACUUGUUAUUAAUUGUAUUUAAAACAAAAUAAGGAUAUUUCAUUCAACUUAUAGUUAAAAUAGAGUAAACACAUAUAUAACCCAAUGAAAAAUACUGUCACAAAAAUCAAGGUAAAUGCACAAACCUUGCAACACAAAUGAUCAUGUAAAUAGAUUAUUGAGCAUAUAUUUAAAAUAAGAUGAAAAUAUAAGCAACUCAAAUGAAAAAUAUUACCAUAUAAAUUAAAAUAAACACACAAAUCUAUAAACACUAUAUCAGUAUUACAGAAAGAACCUUAGAAAAAUAUAAUAAGAUAAAACAGAAAGUAAUGAAGAAAAUUCAGCAAUGAUGUAAGCAUAUUUACAUUAGGAUAAGAAUAAUCCAAUAUUUUUUAUAAAUAUUAAAAGAACAAUAAAAUUUUAGUAUGACCUUGCACUCUCACACCUCAGUCUCUAACACACACAAAAGUAGGUUAAUAAAAAUACUAAUAAAAAAAUUACAAGUAACAACAACAAAUAUAGUCCAUAGCGUGCUAUGAUAAAAUUGAUGUAUAUGUUUUGAAGUUUGAGUGUAUUGUUAUAAUAUGAAAGCUCUAGUAAGUUUUUUAAAUGAGUUUCACAGUUACUAACUAUUUUAUAAACUUAACAAUGUAAAUAUAAAAUAUUCAUAUAUUGCAUAAAUUUAUAUCAAAUUAUUAUUUUACAUGAGUUGAAAUCACAAUUUGUAUUCAAACAUAGAUACUAUGUUAAGGUUUUACUUUUGCUUUAAUGUUACAAAUAUCUUUAAAUACAUGUUCUAUAGUAGAGAUUGUAUUGAAAAUAUACAAAUCUAUAAGAAAUAUAUGACUUAUUUAAGUUAUUCUUUUUAUUAUAUAUGAAUACACAUAUACUUAUAAACAAUAAGUAUAUAAAGUAAUAAAAAAAUCACAGUUCAUGAAAAAACCAAAUAACAAAUAUUAAUUAAUAAAUUAUAAAAAAUUAAGUAUUUAAUAAAAUAAAAUAUUUUAUUAGAGACUCGUAUUAAAAUAUUCAAACUUACCAAAUAUUUCAAACUUAUUUUUCUCGAAAUUAAAAGUGGAAUAUUUUAAAGUACAAAAGUAAUUGAUUUAGUAAGAAAAAUAUAUUAUUAAGAAUUUUAUUUUAAUUAUUAAUGUGAAGUUUACAAGUGUUGUUUAUCGAAUGGGGUUGUUGUGGGUGAGCGAGGAGGAACAGCAGCCUGUGUCUGCCUCACCAACCUACCUCGCACGACCCAUGUGGUUGGCGAGUAUAUUAAUUUUUAUAAUUAAGGUUUUUCUUUGAUUUUUCUUUUUUUAGUAAUACUUUAAAAGAUCAUUUGUAAGGGUAUUUAAAAGCAUUAUUCUAAAAUUAUACAAACAAAUCUCAAUGGGACAAAAACUGUUAUUUUUUUUUUAAAAGUGGAAGAAUGUAAUAUUGGAUUUUUAGUAAAUAUAAUAUCUUUAUCAGUAUCAUUUUCUACUUUGAGAAAUUUCCUUAUUCUAAAUUAUUUUACAAUAUUCAAAUAUAACGGAGUUUGAAUAAUAAAUAAGAAAAAAGAAAAGUGUAACGAUAAAUAAAUAAUUAUAUUGAAAAGAAUAAGAAAGGAGGAAGGGCAAGAGAAAAAGGGUGGGGGUUGUUUGGUUUGGUUCAUACUAGUUUGUGUGGGUAUCGUUAAGCUAGUGGCGAUCCGAUCCAGCUACAGUUACAGGUGCGGCUUCUUCUUCAUCUUCUUCUGCAUCGUCUUCCAGAUCUUUCUUUCAAUCCUCACACGCGCCUGCCUCUUACUUAGUUCUAGGGUCUUUGUUUCCGCCAUAGAUGUUUGUUCAUAUCUGCUUCUCGCGCAUUUUGUCGAUUAGUUUUUUAGUUUUUAAUGUAAAAAAAUGAAAUUAGUUGAUAGAUUACGACUUUUUGUGACUUUCUUGUUUCUGUUUGCUUGAUUGAAGAUCAAAUAAGCAAGAUGUUCGGUGUAAUAAAGCACAAGGUAUGACUUUUUUUCUGAUUGCAAUUGCAUUUCGCUGUGCUUUAUACGAUGAACACAACAGAACGCACACUCUUUUUUGCAGGCUCAGAGCAUUCGCCCUGCCUUCUCCGCUAUCAGACAUUUUUCUUCUGCCGCCAAAGAGGUUUGUAUUAUUGAUCUCAUCUAAUCUCUUAUCAGAUAUCAACCAAACCCGCCGUUUCUCUGAUUCACGUCUUUCGCUGCAGAUCACUGUUCGAGAGGCUCUCAACACCGCACUCGAUGAGGAAAUGUCAGCUGAUCCUAAAGUCUUCUUGAUGGGUGAAGAGGUCAUCCAUUUGUAUUCUAUUCUAUUCUCUCUUUCCUUUUUACAUUUUUUUUAAUGUUUUUUCGCCCUUGCCCUCUUGUGUUAAGUUUGGUCCUUCGUUUUCCUUCUGUUUAAGUGCAGGUUGGGGAAUAUCAGGGUGCAUACAAGGUUAGUUUACUUGUCUUGCCAACCUCUGGAUUUAACAAUUGGAUACCAUUACUUAUUACCUCUUAACAUUCUUUCUUCUUUCAUUCUAGAUAUCCAAGGGGCUGCUCGAGAAGUAUGGCCCUGAGAGGGUUCUCGAUACCCCAAUCACUGAGGUCAUUUUCCUUGCGCACAUUUCGUAUCUCUUUCAUACUUCAUACUUAUCCACCCAUUUGGUUUGCAACUUAUUUACCAUCUCCUUCCGUCUCUCCCUUACAUUCGUUACACCGCUUCACUGUAUGUACUUUUAGGUAACAAUGGUUGCAAACUGGUACACAUUUGGUACUUCUUGAGGCUCUAACCCUAUCCCAGUUUUAGUGUCUAUUAGAUAUAGUACCAUUCAAGAAAGAAAAAAAAUUUCGCAUUGAGAAAUUCAUAAGUAUUCAAUUUUUGGUUAAAAACCUAUAUUUGAUUAUAAAACAAAUGAUGAACUCAAACUAUACAUUAAGUAGACCCUUUAAUGUUAUUUGUUGCUAUUCUUCAUUUUCUGAAUUAGCAAGAUGCUGGCAUGACUAACCCAAGCACAAUGCUAUGAGUUAGAGUUUGCGAUAAAGCACACGUGUUUCACCUUGAAUCUUCUCCAAAUGAAUUUUGUAAUAUUUUGGCAUGUAACCACUUCUGAAUUUCUCUCUGAACUUGCCAAGGUCCAACUUUAAUAUGUCGAAAGAGUCAUUAAUGGAAUCAACCUAUAAAAUAAACAAAUUGAAGCUUUAAUAAUAUGAUGGCUUCGGGAUUCAUUCGUUGGAAUUAGAAUGGAAUGUUAUUUUUGGGUUUUGUGUUCUUCAUGUGUGCCACUUUUCACUUUUUGUUACAGAUUGCUUAUUGAACAUAAAAAUUAAUCUUUUCAGCUCCUCGCUGUAACAUUGUAAUCUAAUAUCCGUGUUUGAAUAAUGUUUUCAAUACCAUGGUUGGCUCUCCAUCUUAAAAAUGAGAUUAACAGACUGACUUUUAUGAAUUGAACUUAACUGCCUAUCCCUGGCCAAAAAAGAACAGGACUUAUACACAGUUGCAUAUGUUGGAUUUACAUAAUCUUUUGUGAAAUAUAAUACAGGCUGGGUUUGCUGGUAUUGGAGUUGGUGCUGCUUACUAUGGUCUAAGGCCUGUUGUGGAGUUUAUGACUUUUAACUUCUCCAUGCAGGUAGGAUUAUAUCUUUAUUGCAUAAUUUCUUUGUUAAAUUUAGUGUGGAGUUAAGUGUCACAUUUCUUACAGAGUCAGCACUUAGUUUAUGCAAGUUUGUGUGUAUUAAAGUUAUGUGAACCUGGCUGUAAGUGAAGAUGAUUAGAUAACAUUGUAUGAGUUUUCUCUUUAGUGAUAGGAAUAACUGACUUGAGUUUUUCAAUACAUGAUGAUUGAUUCCUCAAGGAUAAAUGUCGACUUGCCUGUAAGGCUGUGUUAAUAAUCAGGAUAUAGGUGUGCCUACCCAACUCAAAAAUGCUUUGCACAAGAGUAUAUAAGAUAAAUGAUAUAAUUAAUUUCUAUUAGACAUAUAAAUGCUCAAAAAAUAAAAAUUACUCUGUAAAAAGCAUUGUCAUCAUUCAUAAAUAGAAGUCAUGAUGAUAGUCCAAAAUAUUAUCAUCAUUUUCUUAGGCAUAACUUUUAAUAAUUAAUAAGUUAUUGGCAACAAAGGAUCUUAAGGACGAAAAGAGUAUCGUGCCAAACCUUGACAAAUUUGAGCCUCUGAUGUGUUGGAGGGAUGACAUCAUGUGGGUUCUGAAGUGCAAACUAGUCAACACAAAAAGGAGAGAACAUCAAAGCAAAAAUGAGUUGUCCAAGUGUGCACCGAGGUGACAGGAAUGGAUAAUACUCAACACCAGCAGUUUGCUGGAAAACAACAGCAAACAAUGGAUAAUAGCCAAUCUCAAACUAGAGGGGGCGGGGAUGUGAAAACAAUGCCUGCUAGUAAAUGGCAUACAAUUUGAGGAGUCACAUGACAAAUCACCAAUAGUGAUCAAGAUUUUACAUGCUCUGGGCUUGUGAUUGUUGCUUUAUGAAAACCUGAAGUGAUUCUCUGUGCAUUGCAGGGAUGACAUACUUAAUGUUUUUAAUAUUCUGUGUCUGACUACCCUGUUAAAGAUAUAAACCUAAGGAUUUGUUGUUGGGCAAAGCUGCCGAUCUCAGUAUACAAAAGAGGGAUUCAAUUUAUUGUUAACAGUGGCAAUCAUAUUUGACUUUAAAAAUAAAGCAAUUCUGUAGUGUUUUAAAUAAUAGUUUGAACAUCACAUCAAUGCCAUACAAAUCAAUUUAGUUUAUUAGAUGACAGGCUUUUUUGCUGCAAAUUGGUUACUUGACAAUACUCUGCGUGAAGUAGGGCCUUGUGUUUGCAAUCUUAAUGUUGGCCGCUGGUAGCUUGAAUAUUGAAUACUAAUAAAUUCAAGUGAAUAUUGUAUCAACAUGUGUAAUUAUGCUUAGUUUUUAGCUUCAUUUGUCUGGUAUCCAGCUGUGUCAUCUUUGGUUUGUUAGCUUGCUGAUUAAUUAUUUAACUUCUAUCCACUCAUUGAAUUUUAACUAUUGUUGCAGGCAAUAGACCAUAUUAUUAAUUCUGCCGCAAAAUCCAAUUACAUGUCUGCUGGGCAAAUAUCUGUACCUAUUGUUUUUAGAGGACCCAAUGGUGCUGCCGCUGGGGUUGGUGCCCAGCAUUCUCAAGUAUGGUUCUCAAAGCUGCUUUCUUUUAUGUACAAACUUUAUUUCACUAUUUCGUUAAAUUCUGCCUUGAAUUUACUCUGCUUUAGAGGUGUGGAGAACUGAUAAAUACUUCAGAUUUCAUCUAUGUAUCUACAACUUUGCUUUUAUGCAGUGUUAUGCAUCUUGGUAUGCUUCAUGCCCUGGGUUGAAAGUCCUGUCUCCGUAUUCAUCUGAAGAUGCACGUGGUUUGCUUAAAGCUGCUAUAAGGGACCCCGAUCCUGUUGUUUUUCUUGAAAAUGAGUUACUGUAAGUUUUGCUGCUUUAUUCUCACCCACACACAACCCCCUGCCCGAGAAAUAAGUUGCCAUAGUUUUAACACCAGUUAUUAUUAUUAUUAUUCCGAAAAAUAUUUAAUUUGUACACUAUGUCCCCUAGAUAUGGUGAGUCAUUCCCUGUUUCGGCUGAAGCUCUUGAUUCCAGUUUUUGCCUUCCCAUAGGAAAAGCAAAGGUAGUUAAUUAUCUGUAGUGUACGAAUCCUUGUUUCUAGAGCCAUAUUUAGUUAUUUACUACACAAUAAUGCAUUCUCACUGAAUCCAUGUUUGCUUCACGCAUUUUAUCACUAACAGAUUGAGAGGGAAGGAAAAGAUGUAACUAUUACAGCUUAUUCAAAAAUGGUUGGCUAUGCUCUCAAGGUUUGUUUACCGUGAGAUCCUUUUGUGGUGUAGAUAUGAAUAUUUUGCUGUUCUAAAAAGUUAAAAAUCUCUAACCCCUUCUGUACUACCAAAGUAGACAACAUUCUUAAAUAUCUCUUGGUGUUUUAGGCUGCUGAGACACUGGCUAAAGAAGGAAUCAGUGCCGAGGUAAGAUUUGCAAGAGUUAGUAAUGAACUUUCCCCUCUUUCUCCAAAACUUCAUUUGGGUUAUGAUAAUGGUUAAUGACGUUUAUCCACAUAGGUUAUUAAUUUGCGUUCAAUCCGACCAUUGGAUCGAUCAACAAUUAAUGCUUCUGUCAGGAAAACCAACAGGCUAGUGACAGUUGAAGAAGGGUUUCCUCAGCAUGGUGUUGGGGCUGAAAUCUGGUUUGUCUCUUUGCAUUGACUUUCUCUGUAUCUUUCUGGUUAAAUUUUGCCAAUUAUGUGAGUGUAUACUUCUCUUGAGCAGCACAUCUGUCAUUGAGGAGAGUUUUGGUUAUCUUGACGCACCUGUUGAGAGAAUUGCUGGGGCUGAUGUUCCUAUGCCAUACGCAGCUAACCUGGAGAGAUUGGCUGUUCCACAGGUAAUGAUUGUAGAAUAUUAUGUGUUUGUUCUGAAUAUGUCAACUUGUUUUGGAAGAUUUGUUAUCUUUAUUUUGAUCCAGAAAUGUACUUUUAUUUUGAAUGGGAGUAGUGAUAGCCUGGACAUGAUGGUCUUGUGUGACACGAGUAUUGAUGCUAAUUUGUUCAAGGUUUUGGUACAAGUGUAUUGAGAAUUUAAAUCUGAUUGUUUUCUGGUAUAUGUGGAUGGACAGAUUGAAGAUAUUGUUCGAGCUGCGAAGAGAGCAUGCCACAGAUCGGUGCCUUUGGCUGCAGCUGCUUGAAAGUUCUGGAAAACUUUCAUGUCCUGAUUAGUUCUUUGGUAAUCCUUGAUGUACCAAAAACAAUUUUCCCCCAAAUUUCCACCAUAAAACAGCAGGAAGAAAUUACAACCAAAGAAUGCUGGUUUUAACUCGUGGGUUAUGCUGGGCUUUGGUUAAAAAAUUCUGUUGUAUAUUCCUAAUUUUCAGGACUCACAGAUGCCAUACAUUUUUUUCCCCAUUCUCAGCCAGCAUAUAUAUGGGAGGAAGUUAAGUUUAAUAACUUGGAAAACAAUAACACAGGGCGGAAGUCUUCUGUGCUUUGGUUUCUGAUUGGCAAUAACUAAGUAGUCAAUUUUUUGAAUACAUUAUCGAGUUUCUUUCCAGUGGGCCAGUUCUAUGCAAGAUCUAGCUUACUUAUUUAAUUCAAUCCCAUUUACUGUUUGUUACUUGGCAGGCUAGAGAUAUUUGAUUUGAUACGAGGUCCGUAUCCUCGGGGAGAAUAAGGCUAUGGGUACUUGGUGUUGUGGAUUGUGCUUGGUCUUAGUCACCGUGAACUCCCUAAAAUUACUUAUAUAACUUCGGUUAGCAAUACCCACGAAAUCAUAUUGUCUCCUGUUAAUGUCAGUCGAAGAAAUUUCUCCAUUUGCUUAAACGAGUUUAACUUUUAUCUAUGGGGAAAUUUCACCGUGAAUCAUGUGUUGAGAAAGCACUUGGACGUUGAUUUUUGAUAUAAUUGUUUGUCAACUUCAUUUAGUAUCAUGUCAAUGUAUUAACAAAGAUAAUUUGGCAAAUUUGAUGUCGUAAACCUAAUUAUAUGCUCUAAAUUAUGUUACUGACAAUAGUAAAUCAUAUUUGAGAGGUCGUUUUGAAGGACAAAAGAUUGUGUUGAUUUUGUAAGUCGUACAAAAUAUUAUAUAAUUGGAUAAAUAUUUAAAAUGGAAGGAAAGUAUAUUAAUACUUUGUUUUUUUUUUGUUUGUUAAGUUAUUUUCUGAAUUUGAAAAUGAAAUGUUUUCUUUCCUUUUAUUUUCAUCCAUAACUUUUCAGUUUUAUUUUGUUUGCUGUUUUGACAUGAUAAAAUGUUCAGUUCUUAUUUUUGCUUUACUAGAAUAUUAAUGCUGUAUGUGAGUAUGAAAUCGUUAUUUCGAACACAAAUUCUGCUUUUCUUAGCCCUUAACUUGAAAAAAGUAGUUUCAAAUAUAAACGCUCGGAUCCUUAAGACCUCAACUAACAUUUGUUUUAUUAUAUUAAAUAAUCUUAAAUCAUUUAAGAGUUUGCAUGAAUGAUCAUUUAAAUAUAUUUUUUCUUUUAACUUUUUUAUGUAUUUAAAGACAUGACGAUAAAAGAAUUUUAAAAUUUAAAGUGAAGAAUACAUCAAUUCACAUAUGCUGAUUGUAAUGUAUGUAAUUAGGUUCACAACAAAAAUUUAAGGUGGAUGAUAUGGUCAUAAAAAUCUUUCAUAAAUUCCAAAAUAUGUUAUCUUAGUUCAUUUUGCAUGUUAUUUGUUUCCAAUACUUUUUUAGAACAAAAUCUCAGAAAGCACAAAAUUUCCUGAAAGUAAAAUUGGGGAAUUAUAAAUAAAAUCUGAUUAGAAAAUAGCCGAGAAUUACAUGCAAAAUAUGCUCUGAAAUGUAAACCAUUAUUUUCUAUAUAUGAAGUUGACUUUACUUUCGCAAAGCAAGCUAUGAUAUCAAAUUCGAUUACAUUAUUCUUGGAGUGGAGUUAAAAUGUGAUAAAUAGUUGAUUUUGCAGACAAAUGGUAUUUUAGAAGCUUCGGUAUCCCUUUUUAUAUCUUCUGUGUCCGAAGUAUUUUAAUUUUAAAAAAGUGUCUUUGUUUUAGUUAGGGAGCAUAAUUUUUGAAAAUAGUUUGGCAGUUAUUUUAAAAGUCAAAGUCGAAAAGCUUACAUUUUGUAUUGAUUCUUGUUUGGAGAAAAAAGAAAUCGAAAAAUUUGUAUGCAUGGAAGGUGUGGCCUUGACUUUUGACAAGUGAACGAAAGUAUUUUUAGUGAAUAGUUUUAUAGUAUAAUUCAAUGAUUAGAAGCAGAGAAUUGAGAGAGGGAGGAAGAAGAAGUGAUGAUAGGAGAAGGUUAGGGAUAAUAGUAAUGGUAAAUAGAAAUACAAUAUUAUUAAAAAUAAAUAAUAGUAGUAAUUAUAAUAAUAAUAAUAAUAGAAAUAAUGAAAGGUUGGGGGUGGUGGAAUUUGCGUGGGAGGAGUUGGUGGCGUAAGCAGAGGAAGCGGUUGAAGAAAGAAAUGGUCUGAUUGGGAUGGGGAAGGGGAUUUGACCACCUCCUCGUUGUCGUUGUUGGCGGCGAUUUCCAUUUGCUAUUCUUCACUCUAAUCCUUCAUUGUUACGAACAAACAAAGCAAAAGUUAUUAGAACAAACGAUUGCAAGACAUCGAUGAAGAGCUCUCUGAAGAAAUUGCGAGGUCUGGCGCUUCACAAUCACAACCACAACCGCACUCGCAAGGAUGACUCCUCCAACUCCAUUCAGCCUUUGGGCCAGCUUGACGAGCUUGCUCGGGCCACCCAGGCACGCACGCCUCCACAUUCGCAUUUCUCUUUCCAUCUCUGUUUCUUCAACAUAUCCUACCCUAUCAUACAAUACAUCUCUACUUUUAGGGUUUGACGGAUGGAAUUGAUUUGGAAUUGCUCUUCAGGAUAUGCAAGACAUGAGGGACUGCUAUGACACCUUGCUUUCCGCCGCUGCUGCAACCGCCAGCAGUGCCUAUGGUAGGGUUGGGACGUUGGAAUAUCGUUCAUUCAUUCUUUCUUUCUUUUCUUCAUCCUUUCAUGCUUUUCAUAUCGUCUAUUAUUCUCUUCUUACAGAAUUCUCUGAGUCCUUGCGAGACAUGGGCUCUUGUCUCCUCGAGAAGACCGCUUUAAAUGACCACGCAGAUGAAACUGGCACUCUACUCUUCUUUUACUUCUUCUUCUUCCACUUCUGCACGCACUUCAUCACCUUUUUCAUUUUUUCUCUUCCCUAACCCCUUCCGUUGUUCUUUUCCAUUCUGUUAUUGCAGGAAAACUUCUCCUCACGCUUGGCAAAAUUCAGUUCAAACUCCACAAACUAAUUGAUGACUACGUCACUUCCUAAUCUUUUCUCUAUUUCCAUUUUAUCUUUACUAAUUAUUUUCUAUGCUUUUCAUCACUCUUUUCUUUCCCUUUCCAGCGUUCUCAUAUAAUCCAGACAAUUACCGUUCCCUCGGAAUCUCUCUUGAAUGAACUUCGAAUUGUUGAGGUUUCUAAUUCUAAUCUUUUUUAUAUCUCUAUCUAUUGCUCUUACAUAAACCUAGUCAUGCAUCACUCUCCUUCAACUUUCAGAUUCAACUUUUUCUUAUUGCAGUAACCUGAGAAUACCUUUAUUUUUAUAUUCUACAUGGAUGACCUUUUUUUAAUUUUAAUCAUUUUUUUUCUUUUUGUUUUAAUACUGGACCAGGAGAUGAAGCGGCAAUGUGAUGAGAAAAGGUUUGAAAUGAUGUUUUUGAUCUGGUAUUAUCUUUGACUGUCACACUGAUAUACUUCUUGUUGUUGUGUCAUAUGAUAUGCAGAGACGUAUAUGACUAUAUGGUAGCAAGAUACAGAGAAGGAGGCAGGUCUAAAGGCGGGAAAGGGGAAACUUUUUCUUUGCAGCAGUUGCAAACUGCUCAUGAUGAAUAUGAUGAAGAGGCUACUUUGUUUGUUUUCCGAUUGAAAUCUCUGAAGCAAGGACAAUCGCGUAGUCUUCUAACACAGGCAACGCGUCACCAUGCUUCUCAGGUUCUUCACAUUCCCCUGUUUCCUUGUAAGAAUUGGAGUUUCCUUUUUUUUUUUUUUAUAUUAUUACCAUUGCUUUCUUUUGUGCCCAAACAGUUGUGUUUUUUCAAGAAAGCAGUCAAGUCCCUUGAGACAGUAGAACCACAUGUAAAAUCUGUAACUGAACAGCAGCACAUUGAUUACCAGUUCAGUGGUCUUGAAGAGGAGGAUGGGUAUGAAGGUGACGAUGGAGAUGAUGGUGGUGGUGGUUAUGAUGACAAUGAUGAUGGUGAGCUGAGUUUUGACUAUGGACAAACUGAACAAGACCGAGAUGUUUCUACGUCACGAAACUCCAUGGAGGUGACUACCUUAAGUAACUAGGAUCUUCAAUUUUUUUCUUCUCUUAUAUGUUUUGAAUUUAUUUAGAAAUGGUUGUCUAGUGAAGGCUGGAAAAUUACAUCUACUAACACGCAAAAGGGAACAGGUGAAUGAUUAUGCACUCAUGUGGUGGUCGUUGAAGGGUUUGAAUCCUACUGCAUGCUGUAUAUGUGUGAAAUCAAAAUUAAUGAGUGAAUGACUACAUUCGUGGAGAGAGAUUAUGUUGUGGGAAAAGUUGUUUUUACGGUCUUAAGCUCAAAAGUUUUGCAUAUUUGUUUAUUUAAUUGUGACUAACUGCUCUAUGCACACGAGUAAUACAGUUUAAUUAGAAUGCCGCUAGAUGGACGAUUGAGCAAGAACCUCUUCAAGUAAACUACGGGUUUUUAACUUCUUUGAUUAAUGCAUGAAAAUGCUAUGGAAGUUUUCAGUAAUGAACUUCUGAUUUUGAAGAUUUUGGUUCUGAACAAUAUAUAUAGUUUUAGUUUUCAAAGUUUAUAAAACACUACAAUUAGCUUAUAUUACUCAUCUUGAUGACAUGGUGCUUAUCCGUGUUCACCUCUUUUCAGCUGGAUCAAGUGGAAGUUACAGCUCCUGGAGGUUUUACAUCCGAAACUGCCAAGGUAAAAAAGACAUCUAUUAUCUUCAGUUUUAUUUUUGAGCCUCUAAAUUUGAAGUACGUAAGGGCAUGCACAAUGAAUCUUUUGCUCUGUUUGCAGGAAAACUUAGACAAACUUCAAAGGAAUUUGUUUUCCUUUAGGGUUAGGACAGGGAGCCAAUCUGCCCCGCUUUUUGCUGAUAAACCUGAUGCAAUUGAAAAACUGAGGCAGAUGCGCCCAUCUUUAUCUCGGAAGUUUAGUUCAUAUGUGCUACCCACACCCGUUGAUGCUAAGAGUUCAAUCUCUUCAAGUUCAAAUAAUCCAAAACCAUCCAAAGUGCAGGCAAAUCUAAGUGAACCUACAAAGAACUUGUGGCAUUCAUCCCCCUUAGAACAAAAGAAACAUGAAAAAGAUAGCGGUGAUGAAUUUUCUGGUUCUAUUGUCAGAAGUGCUCAGUCGGUACACAAGGAAAGUAACAGUAAUACUGCCUCCACGAGAUUGCCUCUUCCUCUAGCAGAUAAUCUUUUAUCCUCGAACCGUGAUUACAUUUCCGCUCACUCUAAAAAGAUUAAAAGAUAUGCCUUUUCUGGCCCAUUGACAAGUAAUCCUGGGCCUACCAGGCCGGUUUUGUUAGAAAGUGUUCAACUGUUCUCUGGACCUCUUUUGCCAAGUUCAAUCCCUCAGCCUCGGUCAUCAUCUCCAAAAGUAUCUCCCACUGCUUCUCCCACUCUAGUGUCUUCACCCAAAAUAAGUGAGCUUCAUGAACUUCCUAGGCCUCCAACCAAUUUCCCAUCCAAUUCAAGGCUUUUAGGUUUGGUGGGUCAUUCUGGUCCUUUGUUGUCUGGAGGUCAAAAGGUUUCCUCUGCAAAUAAUUUGGCUGCAUCAACUGCUGCAUCUCCAUUACCAAUGCCACCUCAGGCCAUGGCUCGUAGUUUCUCCAUACCUUCUAGUGGGGCUAGAGUUGCAGCAUUACAUGUUCCUAGAACUCUAGAUUCUUCUCAUGGAUCAUCUAUAUCUGAGACUAUUGCUUCUCCUCUGAUACCACUAGCAUUAUCUAGUAGUCAGCCAUCAUCAGAUUGCUGAGGCUGUUGUCUAGAUAUUUAGACCAGAGGUAUUUUUUUAAACCAGGGCCUUUUGUUUACUUUUUUCUUCUUUUUUUCUAUUAUUUUUGUUUUCCUGGAUUUAUUUGAACUUUUUUUUAACUGUGAAAUUUAGACAACGUAGAAAGUGUUGAAAUUUCAUUUAUAGAUGGCAAAACCUCUGUCUACAUUUGCCUGGUUUGGAAUGGGAUAAAAUGGAGAUGGUUAGUACGUACUUCUAUGACAUCAAGAACCUGUAAGAGCCUGUGUAUAGGACACCUAUUAUUGAGCGAGUUCUAUCUUCAAAGUUCUUGCAAUAUAUAAAUGAUUUCCGAUUCCCCCUUGUGGAAUACAAUUGUCAAAUGAAAAAUAUCUAAUACUUUUUAUUGUAUCUUUAGUGUAAUUUGGAGUAUGUGAGUUUAUCACUUUAGACUUAAUUAAUUAGGAUUAUGAUAAAAUAUUAGGAUAAAUAAGGGUUAGUGCUCUAUGUAUUGCGAUUGCAACAUGAUAUUUCAUAUCAUAUGAAGUCAAUUCUAAUGUCAUAAUGUUCGGUUUUUAUUCUCUCCUUUUCCUCCGGCAAUACCUUAAUCUCUCUUAGCUACUCCCAUUCUUCUAAUAAAGUGUCGAAUUUAAUCACAAGGCAUGUGGACCUAUGUACUAUCCAUGCUACCCAAAGGGCAUUUGGGUGAAGGGAUGCGUUCUAAAUUUUGUUUUCAUCUAACCGUUUAAACUUUUGGAAUAGUUUGGCAUAUGACAAAAUAAACUAUGUAAUCUUCAUACAAAAUACUCUACUGGAAAUGCACGUUGGGAUAGAGAAUAUUUUUGGUGCAAGCAUCAUCUAUUUUAAAUGGACUUAACAUUUUAUUAUGUACAAGUACUUUACAAUGAGGUCACACAUGCAGAAACUCACUUCAUAGCUAUUUUUUUCAUCUUCUCCUUAAAAUAGCAGUGCAAUAGGUGGAAGUGUUUAUAAUUGAUGGGAUGAAUAAUUUACGACAUGAUAGGCCAGUUUUUAUAAUACAUUGGAGAAAUUUAAAUUCCAAACUAAUUGAUAUUACCAUUGUGAGAUUUAGAAAUUGCUUUAUUAUUGUUCCUUCUUCCUACUACCAAUACUGUUAGAAAGUUUAGUUUAACUUACAUAUGAUUUAAUUUUCAUUUUCUAUUUUUCAGGGAUGUGUAUGUGCAUGUUUUGUCUAAUGUUAUGCGAUGAACCCAGGUAUAGUCAAUGGAUACUUGUGCAGACUAAUUCUACUUACGUUUGAAGUUAGCCUUUACGGCCUGGCAAAUGAAGCUUAGGGCCAAGAAAACUUAGGUUAAAUUUUGCUUAGUUGCAAAGAUGUAUAUAUUCGUUUUACCUAAUAUUCGUUUGUCUGUCAUAAUCAUUGUUAUUUCAACCUUAUGGGCUUUUUGUUUUCUUAUUUCGAAAUAAAUGCCCAUUGGCUUUAUUGUUGAGAUAUGCAUUUAUGCAAUGACGGUAGCCAAUCAAUCACGCCUCCCCUUUACGAGCAAUCCAACUGUGUAAUUAAGCUGUGUACCUUUCAGUAAGUGCAAUUUGCUUUCAUAUGUUUUCUUAACUAAACAUUUCUAUGAACACAUGAAAUCAAUUCUCGGAGAAUUCGAUUCAUUUCUGGAUUGGCAUUCAUAAAUCAUGCUUUUGAUUUGUCUGCAAUCUGGUGGAGCAGGACGAGAAGAGAGAAUAGAAUUCAUGUAAUGUAACAAUGUCGCUUUUGUUGUUGAACCAUUAUUUGGUUAAUAAAACGUUCACGUUGCAAUAAUAAAAAAGGGAGAAGUGAAGUGGACCUUCGUGCAAUUAUGCUCUAGCAGGUGUGAAACCACUCUAGAAGUUGCUAAUCACUAGCUAGGUACCGUGGCAUUUUCUAUGAACUGGUAGAGUUGGUUUAAGUCAGACAAAUGGGUACUCUUGUUGUGGACUUAUUGGGGUAAUUUUGUUUAGAACAUGUAUGCCAAAUCCAAAUACCCAAAUUUAACCGGCUUCUGUCAUUAUCAUUAUAAUUAAUCUAUAUCUAUCUAUAUAUUACAAAUGGACAUCACAAACCAUCCGUACUAUCUGUACAGAUUUGGAAACCAAGAAAAGAAUUGCCGAUGUCCUAAUUCGAAUGCAAUGCAUAAUAUUGGUAAUUUGGAACGGUGCAAGGAAAAUAGACAUUUCCGAUGUGCGCUGUUUGGACGAUAGAGAUUGGCUUCCUCCUCGUUAUUUGGUAGAUAUAGUCUUUCAUUUGCAGCUUUCUCCAGUAUCAUAUCUGACGAAUCCCAUUAAUUCUGGUCCUUUAAGUCUUGUGUUAUUCUUGAAACUGCAGGAAUAUAAACUAUUAGCUCAUGCUCUCACACAUUGAAAUCAACUACUCGAGCAUGGAUCUAGAGGUAAGAGAAGCAUGAAAUCAUAACAGGGGAAUGUCAUUAUCAAUGUUAUAUAAGUAAUAGCUAAAUUCUACAAAUGAUCAGCAUCGAAAAGUAAAAAGUAAAUUAUAAUCGCCAUUUUCCUAUUUUGGUGGUAUUUAUAUAAUUUCUUGUCACCAAUGAUUUGAGUUCAAGUCAUCUGUUAUUAUUACUGUUAUCACCCAGCAGAUAUAGCGGCUUAAACUUAUUUACAGAAUCUAUGACAAAAUUUGUGCAAGUAGUAACGAAGUCGACCUUGUGAAGUACUCAGAUUAAUAAGUUUUAGAUGGACUCACCUUUGUUCAGAGAACUUGGAAAAAGAGCCGGAUGUAGGGAAAGUACCACACAGAUCAUUAUUUGAUAGGUCUCUGCAUAACAUAAGAAAAACGAAUUUAAACGUGAGAAAUUAGAAUUGACGGAGAAGAAUGAAAAGAGGUGUGAUAUUGAAAAGUGUAGGACAGAGAGACUCACAAGAUCUUGAGGUUUUCCAACUUAGUGAGUUCCCUCGGUAUUCUUCCAGUGAGCAUGUUGCUGUUGAGCCGCCUGUAAUAUUGUAUCAUAAAAGGCUUAGGCUUGAUGAACGGUCCACUUGCUAUUUAUUUUAAUUAACUUACAAGAAUUUGAUGUGGGAGAGGUUGGACAGGCUGGCGGGAAUGGAGCCAGUGAGGUUAUUCUGGUAGAGACCCAAGCUAACCAGGUUCUUGAGGUCUCCAAGUUCCUUUGGUAUUGGACCCUUCAAAUCAUUUUUGUACAGUUCUCUGCACAUUGGCAAACCAAAUCUUACGUUCUGUUUUUGCAUAACACAUUCAAAAAGGAACUUUGGAGAAAUAAACCCUCAUAUUUGAUCUUUAGUGAUGUCUGUCAGACAUUUUCAGAAAAUAGAUAAAUGCAAACUUCGCUACGGGGCUUACAGAAACUGAAGGCGCUGGAGCCUCCCUAGUUCUGGAACCAAAUGACCAGACAGUUUUGCGUGUCCGAGGUCCCUGCAUGAGUACGCAAUUAUCAGACUUAACCCAACCCAGUGAAAUAAUCAACACUUAUCAAACAAACAUGUUACAAAGAAUACAUAAUAAAAUAAAAAUACAAAGAAUAUAUUCCAAAUAAAAACGUGAGAAAAUGUAAAGACAAGAUGGAGUUAAUUACAGUCGGGUUACUCUCUUAUCAUCAUCACAGGUAACAUGGAACCAUGUACAAGGAUCCACCAAAGUUGGAUCCCAGCUCUGCAGAACGUUAUUUGGGUCUUUCACAGCUCUUCUGAACGCGAACAGAGCAUCACCUGUUCGUUUUCAAGUUCAAAAAAGCAGAAUAUACUAUUGUGACAAGAUUCUUCAAAAUUUGUGGCUGGAUACAUAUGGAACGCAUAUAUACAAAAGGGUGGGUUUACCUUCAGAGUUUGCAUUUAUAACAGCAAAAGGGUCUGAUAGGAGAAGAAAAAUGGCAAGAACGUAAAAAGGUACCCUCAUGCUCCUCUCCAUGAAGUAGCAGCCCUGAAAGUUGGUAGAGAGAGACUUAACUGGAGUAGAGAUUUUAGAGCCUCACCCCUCACACCGGCUGACACCAAUAGAUGGUUCUAUUUGUAGUCGAAGUGCGCCUAAUAGUAAUAAUACUAAUAACAAAAACAUGUAAUAGAGACCAAAUCUUCCUCUUUCUUUAAUGCAAUUAUGCUUUUGGAAUGGAAUCACAGAUAUAUGGAGAAUUUUAUAGUGCCCGUAAAUGGAUAUGAGAUGCUACCUCUUUAGUUUGUCUAUUCACACUCAACUAGUAAUGUAGUCGUACGUGUAAAUAUCAUUACUCUUUUUCAAAAGAUAAUUAAAAUUGUUAUUCUCGAUAUAUUUAGUUAGGUCAAAGUCUAUAUACACUAUUUGAAUUUUUAGUAAGGAAAAUAUUUACGUGCAUUUAAAAGUGAGAUAUGUUCAUUAUUAUUAUUUUUGUAAUUUAAAGGAGCAUUUCUGGAAUGCAUGUAUACGAGAAAAGGAUUAAAAAAAAUACGAUAAAGGUAAAGAUAAACUGUACGAUAUCAAUUAGAUUAUUCAGUAUUCAAGCAAUAGAGCCUAAGGCUAUCGCAGUAGCAAUACAAAGAAUGUUUUACGCAAUUACACAGACUAAACUAAAUCGUUGUUCUUCCUCUUGUGUGCUUGUAUUUGAAAACAAAAUAAACAAAAAUGUAUACUUUAGAUUCGAUGAUGGAUGGUGUGAUUUCAAAGAAGGAGAAUAAUUAUUCAUUCUGUUUUCUUUUAUUAGAAAAAAUUAUCUCUGACACAAAGCAGCAAGGAAUAUUAAUAAUGGUAUUGAAAACUGUAAGUAAUAAAAUGAUAAAGAUGAUAAAGUUAAAUUGGUUUUUGAUUAGUCAACCAUGAUGGCAAAUUAGUUAACUGGAAGCAUCAUAGUAAGCUUUGUGAUUGGACACGUAAAAGUAAGGCACUAGCUAGGAAUGAAGAAAGUGAAUAGAAAGAUUAUAGAUGCAAAUGAAAUACUCGUCUUUUAAUGCAUUUUAUGUUAAUGGGUCCAAAUCCAACACUAUAGUUUUGACUUGGGACGGCUCAAUGGGUUGAAUUGGUUGACAGCAUGGUUUGUUCUGUUUGAAGUUACUGUACUUUGUAUCUUCUUUUUUGAUAGUGGGAGGGACACAAAAGCAUGAAAGAGUUCCUUUGUGUGAUCUUAGACAGAUAAUGCAAUGAUCUCCUCAUUAAAAGAAGUGACUUGGAGAUUUCAGACUUAGACCGCAUCAUGUUAACUCCUUUUCAUUCUCACACUCACCAACCAUAAGCUUGGGAAAAAGUUAUUAUAGUAUUACUGUACGAAACAAAAAGCCCUCUCUACUUAGUCUCUCUUUCUUCGGCCAAACGAUAAAAGCUUUCCAUACGCAUAAUUAUGGUUGAGUGUAUAAUCAACACCUCACGUGUAAAAGAAAUUAUAAUGGUCUUUUGACCAUUGACCACCACAUUUAGAAAGAUGUAAUAUUAUGCCCCACCAAUUUUCUUUUUAUGCUCAAGAAAGGGGAAAGGGAGGGAACAAAAUUUUGAACUAGAAAGUAAUUAAAACCUUUAUUCUGUAAUAUUAUGUAAGUUAAUGACAGAAUGAUACAUUUUUACAUUCUUUUGAUAUAUAUUAUAAGGAUAAAAUGGUGAUAAAUGAAUGAAUUUUUAUAUUUUUUUCAUGGAAAAAGAGAUUAAAAAGUAAAAAAAAAAUAAUAUCAAAUGAAUUAUUUUUCUAUUAUGUACUGUGAACAUUUGGUUAGGAGUAACAAAGGAAGAUUGUUAAUAUUGAUUUUAGGAUGCAAAAGUAUUAGAAAAGUGAUACUUUUACACAUAAAUUUUUUAUUAUUUUUUUUUUAAAAUACAAAAAAAUAUUUUUUUUUAGACUACUUUAUUCUUGUACGUAAAAAUAUGUCAUUAUAUUUUAAGGUAUUUGUAUACGAUGGAAUAAACGCUUGUCAUGCAUGUUCACAUCAAUGGACCCCAAUUCCCGCCAUUGAUCUCUUCAAAUCAAAUUCAAUCCAACAUCUUUUCGAAACCGACUUUUUGUUCGUUAUCAAUGGCUAUGCAAUUUAGGGAUUUUAAUAUCAUCGUCAUGUGCUCUCAUAGACAUUGAGUUUCAAUUAUUGGCAAAUAAAAGAGAUUAACUCUUUGAACGGGCCUUAACACAAGAUUUCUUUAUAGUUCAGUUUUAUAUCAGGAGCUCUAUAGGUGGGCCUUUGAGCCCAAAAAAAUGUUGGUACAAAUCUUGGUAGUAUUUGUUAGUUACUAAGGAAUUAAUCGAGACAUCAUAAUUCCUUUAUAUAGAUAUAUAUCAUAAGUUUCACUCAUUUUUUUACUUUUUAAUUUUUUUGACUUUGCAUUUUCUCUUCUAUUAUUCAUUGUCAUGGAUGAUUAUAAGAUUAAUCCCAUUAUUAAUCUUAUAAGAUUAAUCCUUCAUUACUUGUUUUUAUCUUGAUUCUUGAGCUUACCGUGGAAGAUCUUAAGUUUCAAGAUCCAUUUUGAUGAAGUUUUCUUGGAGUUAGGAAUAUUCAAACAAAAUAAAAAAAAAAAGGAAAGCAAGGUGGGUUAAGAACAGAAAAUUUAAGGGAUCUCUGGCUAUGUAUGAUUUUACAAACAGUUUCAUUACAUAUCUCCAAGUUAUUCUAAUUGGCAAACGGGCUGAAAUUGAAAACUUAAGCUUUCCAUAAUAACAAGAGGAAAUGCCAGAACUGCUCCACGAAAUUAGGCAUACAUUUGAAACACGUUUUGAACUUAAAGUACCUCCUAUAGCAGUAGUGGUUAUUUCAGUAUACUAAUUCCAAAACAGAUGUAUCUGGAACAAUGUUGGAAACAAAGGGCUGUGAAAUAAAAGUUGUCUAUCAUAGCCAAACAAAUCAUUUUUCAAGAAAAAAUAGUUUAUUAUUUCUUAAUGAUGAAUUUAAAAAAGGAGACAAAAAAAAAAUCAUAUGAUUUUUAGUUAUUUUGUUGCUAUCUAACUGGACUAAAAUGAACAAAUGGAAUAUUUUAUAGCUUGGUAUUUCAGGGUAGUAGUUGCUGAGAUAUAAAUUGCUUUUAGGUAUACAAAAGAACAUGAGCACUUGGAUUGUUACAUAACAUGGCCACAGCUUUAUUAUAAGCAUGCGGUUCAAUCUCCUCAUCACCAAGCAACUGAGUUCAACUAUAUAUUUUCUUAAAUAGGCGAAAACAAAGCAUGCAGGAUCAUGGAUGCCAGCAAUUCUCCUUGAAGUAUAAUAUUAACAAAACAUGAGUUUAUUAUAGCUGUGCAACAAAAGACGUACAAGUAGAUAAUUCUAAUUUCGAUGAAAUUCGAGAACGGUAAGUAACAAGUAUUCAUUUUUUGUCCAAUUCUUAAGAUAUGACUAUGUUACAGGUUGCAGAAAAUGCAAGCACAAAAGGCAGAAGCAGAAUAUGAUCCUACCCAGCCAAUGCAAAGCUCUCCUGAGUCCAGUGUGGUGGAUCCAUGACAGCACAGGGAUCUGAUUUCUCAAAGUCAGCGACCUACAGAUGAACAUUUCCAGUAAAGAUAUGGAGUUGCAAACGUGCAUUUGGAAGAAUGGUAUCAAUUGAUUUUAAGGCCAGAGACAGAGAAUCCAAUAGAGGUAGGUACCUUUUCUUGACAGUUAGGACAGUAGUGAUAUUUAUGCCAAAGGCAGUCCAUUGAGGGGCAAAGAAAGCAAACUCCAAGCAUCAUCGGCAUCAAGCAUCCAACAAAUGCAGCCAGACUGGGCUUCGAUCUAUUUUUGGGAGCAAAAUUCAGAACAAUAAGUGAUGUAUGUAAAAAUUUGUGAAUGUUGGGAAUGAACAGAAGUUAGAAAAUCGUUCUAAGAUGAAACCGAAAUUAUCAAAUCCCAAAUUGAGUAAUUGGCAGUGAAGUCAAUGUGAAGUUAGUUCGAAACCUAAAAUCUAAAAAUCAAAAACAAAUAUUCAAACGAGAUUGGAUGAGUAGACAACACCAACCUAAGCAUAAGUAACAAGAUCAUAAUUGUUUCGUGAAAUUCUAAUUUGAUCGGGUAAUAGAGAACAAAUUUGAUUUGAUCGGAAAUUGAAGAGAAGAGAAUAGCAUACCUGACGGUAGUGAGAGCGGUGGCACCACAGUAAGGGCAGUUGAACGGAGCAGGAGUGUCUCUGUAAAUGGUCUGGUGGAUGGGGAUGCCCUUGGGAUCUCCGACCACCGCGUUAGGAGGAAUCACCCCCCUCUGGUAUUCGUUUUCAUACACCGGCACACCAACCACCACUUCAUCCUUUUUCUCCAUUCUCUUCUACCAAAAUGUGCCAAGAGUAAAUAUUAAACCAUAUAAAAAUAUACACCAAAAAUGUUAUGGAAAUUUAUAUCUAUAUAAAUAAAUAAUAAUGGGAUUAUUCCAACGCGUUUUUUCCUCUUUCUAGAACAAAUACCUGUCCGGCACGCCAAAAGUUCAAAUGUUAUUAAUCUUUUAUAAAUUUAUUUUAUAUUUAGUUUAAGUUAAAUGAAAUAUUUUCAAAAUUAUCAAUGAUUAAAAUUAAGUUAAUGAUACUUGUGCUUUAACUCCUGAUUUAUAAAAUUUAUUUUCUUUCGUAAUUUAAGCUUUCACAAUUUCAAAAAUAAGUUGUAAAUUUCAUCAAAUCUUUAAUUUUUAUUUUAUCUUUCCAAUUAAAUGUUAAAAUCAAAUUAUUUACUUAAUUUGUUAUAAAAUCAAUUUAAUUAAUUAAAAAUUAAAACAUUUAAAUGUAUGUAAGAUUAAAUAGUAAAUUAAAAUUACGAAUUCUUAAAAACAUGGAAACUAAGAUUGAAAAAAAUAGAAUAAUAAAAAUCACAGCUGAAAAGUUAAAGUAGAAUUAUAAUACAUUGUGAAAAAUGACAUUAUUUUUUGGUAUAGUUAUUUAUCACAGAUAUAAAAUACAACUUUUAUAUUUAAAUAGUAUUUAUUUCAAUAUUUUAUAUUUAAACAUAAUAUAUUUAUAUAUUUAAAAAUGUUUAUUUAAUGUACAUUUUAAUUAUAUAAAAUAAACACCGGUCAUUUGUAUUAUACUAGUAACUUAAUUCCGUCAAAUGAAAAUUCAGCGCACCACAAAUUCUCAUGGGUAAGCAUAGAAGAGGAAAAUACCAAGAAAUUGCUUCUUUUUUCCAGAUAACAUUCUUCUUUUGUUAACCCGAAAGAAGAUGUUUAUGGUGAUGAAAAUUGUGAAACCUUGUUUAAAAAAAAAAAAAAAAAACUUGACAGAAACUAAAAGUAAUUACGAGUCUCAGGAUGUCUUUCACCAUGAAAUACAUAUAUAUUAUAGGACAUUGGGUCUAUGUCAAGGAUCAUGUGUGAUUUAUCAUCCUAUAUUAUUUUAUGUGAUGUAAAUUAAAAAUAUAUUUAUUAAAAAUAUACUAUUAAAAGAUAUUUAAUGAAUUCUUAAAUAAUAUAAUAAAAUUGUUGAGAUUUUAGUAAUAGUUUCUUAUUGAGUCCGUUAUCUAAAAUAUUUGGGUUGGUUAUGCAUAUAAACUUUUUAAUCAUAAGUUUAAAUUAGACUCCAUGUUGUAACCAUUUUUUUAUUGGAUAAUGAUAUUUAGAUAAUAUUCUUUUUCAAUUGAACAUUGAUUACGUGUUAAUAUGUGAUUGGUAAAAAAUUAUUCCACAAUUAAUAAUAGUAAUAAUCAUAAAAUUAUUGUCGAAUAAUUUUUUAUCAAUCACAAAUUAACACGUAAUCAAUAUUCAAAUAUUUUCAAAAAAUGUUGUCUAAAUAUCAUUAUAUAUUUUUUUAGACUAAGUAGAGUUUUAAGUGAGAUUAGUUAUUUGACCAAACUUAUAUAUCUUUUCAACAAUUUGGCUAAGUUUACAAACCAUUCGGUCGAACUUACAAUUAUUCGGUUAAGUUUGCAGGUAAAUUGGUUGUUUGGUUAAACUCUUAUAUUGUUUGACCAUUUCACCGAGCUUAAAGGUGUAUUUAUUUUGUUAAUUUUUUUAUUUUUUAAUCAUUUGAUCAAACUUACUUGUAAGUUAACCCCUCGAUAGAACUUUAUUUAUAAUUUAUUCAAUAAGAAUAGUCCUUUAAUUUUGUGUUGUUACCUUUGAUGUGACUUGGAAAAUUAAAUUUUUAUAUGAAAAAAUGGACAAAAUUAAAAUUUGCACUGACACAGAAUAAUUAACAUUUGUUAAUUUAUUUUUUUUGUUCUUAUUAAUGCUAACACAUCAAUUAUUAAGUUCAGACCAUUUCUAUUAAUGUAGAUACUUGCUGAUUGAAGACGGUUUCAACUAGGUAUUUUACCCGUACAUUUUGAUCAGGAUGAGUCAUAUACUACCUAUUAUAUAUAUAAAUAUAGUCUAACUUUAAUAAACAAAUUUAUUGGUUAAAUUUGAUUUUUCCUUAUACAUGUAUCUAAAUGAUUAAAAAUAAUAUAUAUAUAUAUAUAUAACUAUACUUAUUAUAAAUAAAAUCUAAAAAAUAAAAUAUUAAACUAUUUCUAUAGUUAUCUAUGAAUUAAGAAUAAACUGAUUAAAUUAUCAACACAAUGAUACGAAAAAUGUAAAAUUCUUUGAACUGAAUAUAUUUUCAAAAAUACAACCAUGAUCGAUGUUAUUUCUCUCUAAACUUAAAAAGUAACUAUUAAAAAGGAAAAAUGUGAAUUUGAAUCGAUUAAUUCGAAAAUAAUGUAUUGCGAUAUGUUUAUGAGUGAUUUGAAUAGAAGAAGUGUUAAUGAAAAAAGUUUUGAAGAGAGAGUAACUGUAAAAAAAAGUGGGUCGAGAGAAAGAAGAGUGGGGGCAUUACAGAGGCAUUGUUGUCAGAUGACCCGCAAUAGUUCAGAACAGAUUCCACAAACAGAAUAAGUGCAGACGGAUGUGCAUUGGGCCUCUCCGCCACGCAUUAGCAUUUUCUCACUAAUCCAACGGCUCCAAUCCAAUCUUUAUUUUCCUUUUAACAGUACAGAUGUUUAUGAAUAAUUUUCCCACCUAUCCUAAUCCUAUCCUAAUUGUCCCAUGUAUUUUCUCUCUCACUUUUCUUCUUCUCUUGUGUGUUUCUCAAGUUUACCUAUUAGUUGCCACCACCCACACCAGCACCAGCCCCGAUACAUUCGGCCAUGCUCCUGUCCGUUUCUGUGCGUCCCACUCUUGCACUUUCUUAUUCUCACACUCCCAAAAUUCUCUUCUCUCUCUUUCUUUUUUUUUUAUUUCCACCAUUGCAACUCUAACCCAACUCACUUCUAUCACAAAUUUUACUCUUUUUAUCACUUUUUUUCUACUAUACUAAAACAAAUAUAAGAACAACUCUCAACAAAAGCUGUUAGCCCCGGAUUCCUAAUUAAAACCUCAACUUUUUAGUUCCGCUUUAGUAAAAAGUCAUCAUGGAAGAACAUAUACUUUACUUUAAAAUAAAUUAAUGAAAAGAUAUAAAAUCAGAGAAACAAUGUGAUAACAAAAUAUCAAAAGUCAUAUAUUUAUUUCAAAUAAUUAAUAUUUUUAUAGUCUUAUUUAAUUACAAAUUAUCCUAUACAAAAAGAUUUUAGUUUUAAAAAACUAUUUUAAAUUCACACUUAAAGUGGGAAUCAUAUAAUUUAACUAUUAUUUCUCACCAAUUAAUUUCUACAAUAUAUAUUAAGAAAAUGAGUUUAAUUAUACUGUGAGAUAUAAAAAACGAUAUUUGCAAAAUAGUUUUAUGAAAAUGAUUUAUUUUUAAUACUUAACAUGAUUGGAAUUCUGUUCUGUUCAAAUACAUGAAUUAAAUAAAAUUCAAUUCAAAUGAAAACUAGGAAAAUAUUAAAGAAUUCAAAUGUUGAAAGAAAUUAUUAAGAAAGAUUAUAAACGGUUUCAAGAAAGUGCCGGCAUUCUUAUGGGUAACCACGAUUCUAGUUCCACUUUAUGUUAUUUUAUUAUCAGUAUUAUAUAUGUUCAGUUCUUGGACAAUCUCAAUGUUUCCCAAUCCCCUCAACAUUAUUACGGGUAAUUUUUGUGAUUUUGAUGAUGUAGUGAAUUAUAGUGAAGUAAGAUUUGCACACAAAAGAUGAGGUUUGAGUUGUGGAAAUGGAUGGAGAUAUUAUGAAGUAGAGUUGUUAGAUUAAUAAAUAGAUAAAUAAAUAAAAAUGGAAUGGUAUGGGAGUAUUAUAUAUGAUAGUUAAAGGGAGGUGGAAAAGCGCGUGAAGUUUGCAGCGAAAGCAGCGAAGCGAGACAAAAUGCAACCCACAGUGGUUCCCUGGAGCUGACAGCUGCUACCCCACAUCGUGAAGAUGAGCGUCGGACACGCGCACGGGGAGAGCGUGUGAGAUGUAUGUAUUUCUACCCUUAAAUGAACAACAAUGUCAAUAUCUCAAGCCUCCCUCCGUAGCCAGUUAGUUCUCAUUUGUAUUGCUUCCAAAAUCUCUCUGUGGGGGGUAUGUGCGUUGUUCAGUACAACUAGUUUUGGUGCAGCUGUUCAUUUGAUUUUGCUGGCUGGCUGGCUGGCGAGCUUCGCAGUCGCAGGUAAUAACGGCGCAUCUUAUCCGAUCAGAUAAAUUAAUUAAUUUAUAUAUAUAAGUAUGUAUAUAUAUAUAUGGUGGUGGCUAGCUUUGUGUUGUGGUUUCCAUUAAUUGUUGUUGGCAACAAUGACAGCUCCAAUCCAAAAAUAUGGAGGCGAUCACUGCUUCCUUAGAGAGGUCUCUUCAAAACUGUUCUUUAAACAACGAUAACCACCAGAGCAGGAGGGAAAACGGGUCAGCCGCAGAUGCAGCAGUGCCACCAGGCUUAGGAAUCUCAUCCACCUCGGACCAUGUCCCGGACACGGAUAAUAAUCAUAACUCUAACUCCGACACCACCUUAGAGCUCAACUCUCACAUCUCACUCCCUUAUCACUGGGAACAAUGCCUAGAUUUAAAGGUUCAAUCCCCCUUUCCUCUUUCUCUUUUUCCCCUCCCCAUUUAUUAUUUUUUUCUUCUCUUCUCUUCUCUUUAACAAAUCAUAAAACCUAUACUCCCUGCAUGAAACUGGAUCUUGCCUCUAGCUCAAGGUUUGGAGCCUGUCUACGUUGUUGUUGUUGUUGUGUAUACCGUGCCCUUCUUUCCAAGACAACAGUUUUCCACAUGUUUACCACCAAAACCCUAGAAAAACGAUUUUUUUUUUUUUCAUUUCCUUCUUUUUCUCUCUAUUAGGGAAGCAAGAUGCAACUUUUCCGAGUUAGACCAUCCUCAAGUCAUAGACAGUAUUUAUUUCUUCUUUUCUGUUAUUGGGGAAUUUAAUUUGUGAAUACGUAUACCAGGUGUGUGUGUGUAUAUAUAUAUAUAUAGAGAGAGAGAGAGAGAGAGCCAUGUAUGUAUGUUCUCUAGUCAUUAGCCUUGGAGAAGAGAAGGACCAGGGGAAACAGUAUGAUUUUUCCUUUAAUAUAUCUUUUUGAUCCUAGCUAUUUGUAAUUCUGAUCCGGGUAAGAGGGGUGUGUUAUUAUUUUUGUUUUCUAUUUCCGUGAUUCCUUGGGUUGGUUCAUUUGUUUGUUUUGAAUUUGUUAUUUGGUGAAAAGAAGGUUGUACGUUCUGAAUUUGUGAGUGUAUGUGAAUGAGUAAUUGAUGAGUUAACAUAUAUAUGGAACAGACGGGGGAAAUUUAUUACAUUAACUGGAGGAACGGAAUGAAAGCAAAGGAGGAUCCAAGAGCAGCAGUGGCAGAGUAUAGUGUAAGUAGGGAUUGUGAAUCCGAAGAAGAGAGCUGGUACGACAGCGAAGAGUCUUCAUCGGAGUCAUGUCCUUCUUCAUCCAAGGAGAACUAUCAGGGUUCGUUAGAGAAACAGAAUGUUUUGGUGGUGGCUGGGUGCAAGGGCUGUCUCAUGUAUUUCAUGGUGCCCAAGCAGGUUGAAGACUGCCCCAAAUGUAGUGGUCAACUCCUCCACUUCGAUCGAUCCGAAAAUGGCUCUCCAUGAUUUCCACUUCUCUUUUUUGUUCCAAUUCCACCCUUCCCCCUCUCCUUCUCCUUGUCUUUUUCUCUCCUCUUAUCAGUGUGAAACUAUAGUUCUUUCUCUUUUUUGUUUAUUAUUUUUAGAUGAAAUUUUCAAUCUUUUCAACUAAGAGACCCUUCUGCACUUCGAUCUUCACCAUAGGUUUUCUUUUUCUUUUUUUUAUUAAUUACUGUUAUUACUUUAACAUUUUGUGUUUCUCUCGGUCCUCAAUAAAUAAAAUGACAUAUAUUCGGUCAAUAUCUACAGUGCUGGCAGUAAGGUCAGUUUUAGAAGAACGAAAGAAUAAUAUUUGUAAUGAUUGCGACGUGUAGCGUUCGUGCCUUUUCUUAUAUUACUUUUAGAAAAAAUUAAAUCAAUGUAUUGUCUCUUGUAGAUUUUUGUUUUACCGUCUAGGUCCACCUUAGUUAUUUAGCGCCAUUAGUUUAUUAUAUCAUUUUUGUUAUUAUUAUAUAUCAUAUGCAUGAUUCAAAAUAUUUUUAAGAGAAUUAUUUAUUUUAUCGUUGUAUUAUUUAAUAUUUUUAACAGGGUAACUCGAGAGUGAAAUUAAAUAAAAAGAAAGAAAAAGUCAUAAUAUUAAAAAAAAAGAACGUUUAUGCUUAACACGUGCACUUAGUUUGAAAGGAUUUUGAAACAUUCUUUUUGGUGAAUAAAAUAAGUUAUCUCAACAAAAUAGAGUAGAGAGAUUUAGAAUUGGUAACAUUUGACCUAACAAAGCAAGUUUUUUCCACUCAUAUUCGAUAUUCUCGCCGAAUGAGCAGGGUUUGAUUUAAAUUCAAAUGUAUGUAUUCUAAUUACAGGGAUUAUUUUGGAAUGUGAUUGAUAGGAUACACGUUAGAUCAAAGUCGCCGUUUAUGAAAGUGGCAUUGUUUAAAGUUAAGUUUUUGGUAAAGUAAGGGUUCGCUCUGGUCAACUGCUUAGGCGUGUUUGACAGAACUUUCUGAAUAAAAAAGUAGGAGAAGAAGAUUAACAUAAGGAGGGUUCGCGAUGGUGGUGGCUGAGUCGUGAGUUGGUGUGAUUCAAUCAUUGCCCACUACGAAAUUAAGAACAACAAAAAAGUAUAUACUUUCACAUACAUUAUUUUUUUCGGAUUUAUUUACUAUUAUUUUUUCCUAUUUUUUAUUCUUCUUUUUAAUAUAUAUAUAUAUAUAUAUAUAUAUGUAUGUAUGUAUAUAUAUAUAUAUAUAUAUAUAUAUAAAUUAUUUUAUGAUUAUUUUAUCUUAUAUGACAUAAAAGUGUGUUAUUAUUUCAACAAAGCUUGCCACAUAACACCGUCUUCAAUAAUUAAACUUAUAUAUUGUUCAACAUUUGAUUACGGGUAAAUUUAUUUCAUGUAUAUAAAUAAAAAUAACUUCCAAGGUAAAUUUCUCAUCGUACAUAAAUUGUUUUAAGUAUGAAAAUUUUCCUUUUUACUUUAUUAUGUAAAAAUCUUACGAUGUUGUGAAAUAUCAAGGAUAAUCCCUUAUUAUAUAUUUAUAGCAUGUUUGAGGAAACUUAGAAAUAUACUUUUCAGCUGUUUUUAUUGUUGAAAAAAUUUAUUAUAUUAAAACCUAAAUAUUUGGGAAUUCGAAUGAAAUUUAUGUUUUUUAAAAUAAACCUUUUUGAAUUUUCAAUUUUAUAAUUUAUUACGUUUUUCUUCAACAUGUUUUCAUUAUUUUAUUAUAUAAAAAAUUUCUUUUAUUCCAAAUAAUAUUAAUUCUAACCACAAUCCAUUAAUAAUAGUUAUAAUAAUCAAUUAUCGGUUAAUAUUAAAAUAACUUAAUAUCUAUGAAUAUUUGAAACCAUUUCUGAUUUCUGAUUUUUUUGUUCAAUUAUCCAUGGCCAGCUACAUACAUUAUUGGGGCUAUAUUUUCGUUUUCUACAUUUUUUCCGACAUUUUUCCUUUUUGAGGAGAGGUUUUAAGUAUUGGUCAUAGGAUAUCGGGCUAGUCCUGUAAAAGAAAAGGGAUAUGUUGAUUUUCCAAGCCAUCUUAAACAUGCAAUCACUACUUCCAUGAAUGCCCCAAUCAAACAUAUCACAUUUUCACUGCCCAAGACAACCACAAAACAAAUGCAAUAUUUUCCUUUCAUCUCUACCAAUAAGCUUCCUCAACAAAUUCGUAUCUUCCUAUUUUGCUUCAAGACAAAAAAUUGAUAAUAUAUAUAUAUAUAUAUAUAUAUAUAUAUAUAUAUGUGUGUGUGUGUUACAAACGUCUUUACUUCCAGAAUUAUCCUUUUAAUAAUAUUAUAUAAUUAUUAUUUUUUAUAAUAUAUAGAAAACUUCUUAUGUGUUUUGAUUCCAAAUACACUAACACUCUUUAAAAUAAGAAUUUAAUUCAAAUUUCAUAACACUCAAUUCAGAGUUAGAUUAAGAGUGAAACAUACACUUACUUUAAACCUUAAAAAAAAUGUCUCUGAAAUUCCUUUUUAGUAUUAAUAUUCUUUUAUAAAAUUAAUUAUAAAUUUUUAUUUAAAGAAAAAUAUCUUCAAAUUUCUUUUAGUAUUAAUAUAAAUUAAUCAUAAAAUUAUGUUUAAGAAAAAAAGUCUUAAGUUUUGUUAGCAUUAAUAUACUUCUAUUAAACUAAUUAUAAUUUUAUAUUAAUAAUAAAAUUUAAUUUGUUAAUUUUGUAUUGGUAUUCAAAUAAUAUUUAACAAGUUAAAACAUUUUUUUUAGAUAAAAGAGAAUGAUUAGUUUUUUUUAUUAUCUUAUAAUAAAUUUUGAUUUCUAUUUUCUUUCUUUAUCUUUAUGUAACUUUUCAUCUAUUGAUUUCAUUUUUUUUCUCUAUUUACUUUUUCUAUUCUAUAAACAUUCUUUUUAAGAGUUUUGACAAAUGUCAUUCUUGAAUUUCAUAUUGUUAAUGUGUAUUCUAUAAACAUUCUUUUUAAGAAUUUUGACAAAUGUCAUUUUUUAAUUUCAUAUUGUUAAUGUGUAUCAAUUUUUUUUAUUUUUAUUUUUUGUUAGUGUGUUUUUCUUUGUAUGUGUUAUUGUUUUUUUUUUAUUUACUGAAUUUGUAUUAGGAUCAGAAAGCAUUUCUUUUGUCUGAUUUUUUUUUUUUAACUUUUCGAUUUAUGGAUAUUUUGAGUUUUUUUUUUUUCAUAUAUUUUGAUGAAGAAUUGAAAUUUUUGUUUAGAUUGAAUUACAGAAUUAUGAACUAAAAGUUAAUUUUUAGUCUUUUGGUAGAUAAUGGAAACCAAAUAUUUAGUAAAAUAUACCAUGAACAAUAAUUGUAAUUGAAAGAUGAAAAUUAAAUUAGUUACGAUAGUUUAAUAUAUAAUUUGGCAAAAAAAGUUGACAAAAAAAUUUUAAAUAAAAAACUUAUUCUUAAGUUUGAUUUAGGUCUUUUAAACUAUUGAAUUAUUUUUAAAUCUAGUACAAUAAUAUAAGAAAAUUUAAAUACAAAUUUAAAGUGUCUUUAACUUUAAAUGUCUAACCAUUAUGAAUCUUAACUUUAUUAUAUAAUUACUAUCAUUCACUUUAUAUAAAUUUAAAUGAUAUAAAACAUCUCAAAAUAUAUUAUUUUCAUUAGAAAAAAACAACUACAACCUAAUAUGAACACCAACUAAAUAAUAUUCUCUUGUAUAAUUACUAUGUAUAAUGUUUAAAAUUUUUUAAAUAAUAAAUAAAUUAUAAUUUAAAAUUAAAAUAUAUCAAAUUUUAUAAUAAAAACAAAUUUUAAUUUUACAUAAUCAAGUUUAAAAAUUACAAAACAUAUUUAAUCUAUAAAAAAUUAGUACACGUUUUAAUAAAAACAAAAUUAUGUAGUACAUGCAACUCUGCAUAAAACAAAAUUAGUUACCAAAGUGAUAAAUGCCCAUUGUAUCAUAACUUCUUUAGUUGUUUACCAUAUUUUUUUAUUAAUUAAAAUAUUGUUUUAGUAUAGGUAAAUAUAAGUUAUUUAAAAUUAAAGAAUAUCACUUGAACAGUAAAAUUUUUGUUUUUAAUAAUUCAUAUUAAAAUGAAAAAGUAUAUUUAUAAACACAUAUUUUGAACAAGUCAUAUUAAAAUGCUCUUAAAGAAACAUUUAUAAAGGUGGAUACACUAAAAUAAUUUGUGUAGUUCAUAUUUUAGUGAACCUCAUUUCUCUUGAAAGUGCAAAAGUUGUAUACAUGGAUAGACUUGCAAACCAAAAAAAAAAAAUACCUGUUAGAAUAUGAUACGAAAUAUAUUCAAGUAUACAAAAAUAAAGUUUAACUUCGACUUACAUCUAAAUAAGAAAGUUUAAAUUUAAAUUAAAAGUACAUUGAACACUAAAUUGUAUAGCAAAAUAUAAAACAAUAAAUUUUGUAUGUGAUAUUUAAUCCUGGUCAUGAUGUAGUUUUUCCAAAUUUUUAUUUUUUGAAUAUUUGUCCACAUCAUUUACAAUACAAUAUAUUAUAAAUAAUAAAUAAUAAUUUUAAAUAUAUUAAAUAUUUUAAUUGAAACUUUAAAUAUAAAAUUUUAUACUAUUUACUUGAGUUCUAAAUAUUAUUAGUUUCCUAAAUCCACAUAUUAAAUAAUUUAAUCUAUCAAUUAUGCAAAUCACACUAAUUUUUUUUUAUGUAAAGCAUACCAAAAAAAAAAAUCUAUACUAAUAUGUGUGUUUAAAAUUUUUUUAUUAUGAUUUUAUUUUUAAAAAGACAUAUUUGAGAAUAAAAGAAGAAAAAUGUAUUUAAAUUAUUAUUGACUUUAACUCUCAAAUAAAGUACAAUUAUUAUAUGUAUUAGAACAAGCUCUUCAGUUGAAAGUUCUCUCUGACCUCAAGUUUGUAGAGAUAAGUUAAUCACUUUAACUGAGAUAUUAUUCAUUUUGGAAAUUAAAACUUAUGUUUGCUUUAUUAGAUAAAGGUGUUUUUUUUAUCCAGAAAAACAAAAUCUCCUUCUUAGCUCAAUCACAAUACAAGUUUUAAAAGCCUUUGUGAUGAUAACAUGCUUGUGAAUAUGUUUAGCAUUGCUGAAACAAAGAGAAAAGUUGAAUUGUGUGAAAUUAUGACGGUAGAGAUAAUGGCACACAUACUUAUACACCAGUGUGCUUUAGUGAAACACUUCUUUGAGUAAGGAAUGGUUCCAUGUGAUUAAGGAAAAUAUUUUGCCAUGAUUGUUGACCCCUCAUAAAACUCUUACAUUUGCUUAGUCAAUUUUGCUUGUGAACACCAUAGUUGAAGCUUGAUUUGUCAAAAGAAACACAAUUUCUCUAGACUUUUUUUAAGAGGAGCAAGCAUGAUUGAUAUUUAUUGUGAUUGUUUGAAAUUGUUUUACUGAGUUGCCAAACCAUUAUAAAUUAAAUGUUUUCAAGACUAAGUUACCUUUUUCUUGAGGACAAACAAGAUUCUAAGUUUCAGAGGGUUAUAAUGUUAAUUUUUACCAUUAUCUCAGUCUUAUUUUAUUAACAAAAUCAUGUUUUUUUUUAACUUUUAACCUUUUUUAUCCUUCA